GAGGUGGCGGCGGUAGCGAGAAGGAGGCAUUUUCAGGCGGCGCUUGUUGUUCCCAUUUCUUAUCCUCGAUUCGGCGUUAGGAAUGAAUUUGGCUUUAUAGUUUUAUUAUGCUCUUGCUUUACUGCUCAAACUUACUCAUGAAAACAGAAAUAGAAAAAAAAAAGAAAAAAAAAACGUGUGUGCAUGUGCGUUCUUGUUGACCACAAGGAAGAAGCCGGAUUUCUUCUGUCUACUUGAUCAUCAUGUCGGUGCAAACCCGGAAGGAGGGGACAAAGAUAUUCAUUGCGUUAGUGAUGCUGAGAUUUUUUAUAUUUAGAUUAUUUUAUUUAUAUUUUAUUUAAAAAAAUCAAGGGCUGUGAUUUCUUUAAGGUAUUUACCUCCUAAAAGAUAAGGGAGUACCACACAGCAAUAAUGUCCUAUAUAUACAUACAUGCAAACUAGCUCAUUGUCCUCUAUGAACACAGCGCAACAUUUUAUUCUUAGGGGACACUUUCGAAAGAUAAAUUAUAGAAGAGUAAAAUGCACCAUUAAUUAGUCCAACAACUUGUCCGUUUGUGUCACUAUGAUCCAUUAACUUUGAAAAUGUAUUUUUGAGUCUAAACCAUGGCCCCAGCCUCGGCCGCCACAGGCAAGCAUGAGCCUUGGCCCUAGCCUAACCAUGAAGCUUCUCACCAUGCCCAGGUCAUUUGGGUGCUUCCCUCUUCCUCUUCUUGCUUGAUCUAGAUUCACCUUGAUGCCAUGGACCUUAUCAGCUUCUCUGUUUUGUCAGUGGAUCAUCGGAGCCACCAUGACGCCAGUUCAAGCCACCACGCUCAUCUUCAAUGCCAGCAGCGGCAACGGUGAUGCCUUCUUCCCCGCGCACACGCGGUGGUGGGGGCUUGCAUACACGCUCUCAUGGCUGCGGCGGCGGCUCUCCCGCAUGCCUGCCUGUGCCCGCCUAUUCGUGCACCUGCAUGCUGUGGUGGCAGUGGGUUGUCCACGCUUUCCUGCAAGCCAUAGUGGGUUGAAGUGGGAAAGGGAGAGAAAGAUAGGGGGUAUCGGUAAAAAAAUAUGGGCCACUUUGCUCUCACAUGACAUAGAUGCCAUGCUAGCUGAUGACAUGGUUUACCACGUUAGAUCUAUUUGUGAAACCAAGGGGCAUAGACUAUUUAUGCACCACUUAAAAACGUCUUGGACCAAGAAAAUACACUUUCAAAGUUGACAGACCUGACAUAGACGAACAAGUUGGUGGACUAAUAGUGCAUUUUACUCGUUAUAGAAUAUUUUAAAAAAUGCAACAAGUGAAAGAAUCUAGCUACAUGAGUUACACACAAUUUACUAUGGAGCAACUAACAUAGGUACUAAUUACUUGUUCGCUGGUCUAAAAAAGUCAUGACUGAAAAUACUAUUCGUUGAUUUAUUAUAAGAGAAAAAAAUACUAUUUACUUGCAGAAAAAAUACGGCUUAUAUAAAACAAACGAACAAGCUGCGAGGUUGCUAGACAGAAGAGGUCAAGCAAGUGUCGUCUUCUCGAUGGCCGAUCAAUUCAUUUAUCGUCAAUAGUACGGCUCUGUAGAUGGCAGAGACUAUAGUCUAUAGCCAGGUUACCCCCGCGAGAUCACGAUCGAUCCAUCAUUCCGAUGCUACCAAAUCAUCAUGGCUCUCUCCGAUACGUAACCCGUGGAUGCUUCUCAGCCACGACCUUCAUCAUCUCUUCCAUCACAUCCAACCAACUUGACAUCAUGUGCAUAUAUAUGAUCGAUGCUAGUGUGUCUGGCGCCGUAUAAUUGGUUGGCCCGUUAUUAAUUAAUCUUCAAAUUAGUUUAGCCAUGUGACGAAAUUAAAACAGCUCAUCAAGAAUUAAAUCUUCGUGUUGGUGAUUGAAAAAUAAUAGAAAGACUCUCCUACAAAUUACCAGCAGGCUAAUUGGCCGGUACUAGGAGUUAAAAAAAAAUACAUGGGUCAUGCUCAUCUGCUGCAGCUAGCACAGUGCUUGUGUGAGACACUAACAGCCGCAGCUGAACAGCUGUGCCGAACAGGGCCAACACCCAUGUGCGUAGGCCGUCAUUUUUCAUCAACAAUAUAAGUCACGAGUUCCAUGAUUCUAAAUAGUCUGCACAGGGCACAGCACUGUCUCACUAGCAUAGAUGAGAUUAAAAGAGAUGGUCCAAAUAGGUUUCUAAAGUGGCAGUGGUAUACAUGUUAAUCAGAGACGGGCACACAUGCCCACCUAUAUAUAUAAUAAAAAAAAGAAAAAGGGGCACCAUCGAGCCUGUCUUGCAAGUCCGUUGCCGAGCCCGCAAUACGACACAUGUGGAUAUAUAGGACAUCAUAUGCCCACAUGUUGAUGCUAUUAGACACCGCUAGAUUGGAGACUGGUGUCAUGACUUUGUGCUACUGCUGGAAAGGAACCCCCAUGUUGUGCGGGAAGGAGAGUUCGCCAGAUCCAAUAUGCGCCAAAGCAUGGACCUCACUGGGCUUGAUGCCUCUAUGAGGUGCCUCAACCCUAUUGCGAAAUGUGAGAAUAGAAGACAUAUGGAGGGAGUUGAGGAAGAGGAGAGAAAUGAUAGGGUGCGUCUUUGUGGGAGCAAAUAGAGGAGCAGUUGUGCGGCUAAGAUAGUGAUGGGCGACUUUAGGGUUGUGCAUUGCAGCCUACCAUGGAGUAGAGUUUUCUUAUCGAGCCUUAGCCUUAUUAAUACAACCAAGUCUUUUAGUAGAUUCACCUCUAAAAUAUAUUUGUUAAUAGAUUUAUAGAGACAACACUAUUUCCUAAAAUAUGUCACACACCUCUAAAUUUGUUUAGCUAUUUUUGGAGACGCCAAUGUUUUAAGAUAGCCCCUAUAAACAACAUGAGUUGUCUUCUAGAACCGUUUUUGUGAUAUUGUGUUCUGGCUUUUCAAAGAACAAGUUAUAAUAUCGCGAAUUGUUCAGCUAUUGCAGCUAUAAGGACAUUUUAACUUUGUUAAGAAUAGCUUGGCUUAGCUAUGAUUUUUUAGUGCCACUAAUCCUGAUUAUUAGGCAAAUAUUCAUUCUUUACUCUAGCUAAUUAUAUUAUAUGCCUCGCCCUUGUGUUAUUUACUUAAUAUAAUAAAUAUUGUAAUAAAAAAUUGAAAAACUAUUGAGUUGUUUAUUAUUGAAUGUUGAAUGUCUAUUAGUGUUGAUUAUAGAGUAGAUGCAUCUCUGUGUUUUUUUUUUUUGUAAUUGAUGAUUUUUUUUACCACACAUGUAGUUCAUAUUUCUAGUUAUUCUGAAUAAAGUUAAACACCCUAGUGGGCCACGGCAAAAGAAGAGCUCACAACUCAGAAGUGUGAAGACUUGGUCUAAUCUGUAAUCACAGGUAACAGUUUCAAAAAAAGAAGUAAUCACAGGUAACUUGGGCUCACUGAUCACUUGGCCCAUAUGUUAGUUGUGAAUACGACCAGGCCUCACGGCUCAGGUGGCACCAGUCCAGAAGCUUGGUCCACGAACGGCCUAGCAGAUCAGUCACCGGAAAUCUCGACUUGGGCCACGUUCACAUCAGCUAGCCAAGCAAUGACGGCCCGUCAUGUUAAAAUUCAUUACACUUUGUAAAAUCAAUACCUCUAGUAUUCGAAUAUUCACUUUGCGAGAAGCUGCUAAAGCUAGAGUGAGGUUAAAGAUGGCAGGGCUAGUCGCGAUCUUGUGAUAACCAAUCCAAUUUGAGACAAUAAAACUAAACACUAAGUAGUACCGCUUGGCAACCUAAGGCCCAAUUAAGGUUCCAGUCUCUCCGUUCUGCUCAGCCUCACCCUGUUCGCUUGAGCUUAUCUAUUAAAUCUGUCAACUAUUUAGGAAUAUUUUUCUUUCAUAAGAAAUAAGCGAACAAUACUUUUAGACAUGACCUUUCAGCCAAGCAAACAGGGUAGCUUGCAUUAGACGGAGGGGGCGGUGGGGUCGCAGCUCGCGAGUGCACGAUGAGCAAGCAACCACAUCUUCACUUCCAUAGAUUCAAACUAAACAUGUAGAAAUCAUUCAAUGAGAGUUUCAUUCAAGACUAUGCAGACCGCUUAGAAGAAUUGUUACUCCAAGAACUUCUCAAGCCUUUGAUGGGGUUAAAAGGUUAGGUCCACUAGGACUCUUCGGCAAAGGUUUCUUUGUCUCUUCUUUAAAAAUUUUCCUGUUUGGUUGUUGGCAUUGUUAUCUUGUGGCUGUGCUGAUUUGCAAGUUGGGUGGUGUUGUUAGAGUUUGUCCUAGUCGUCAUAGUUCUUUGUUUCCUAUUGUAACCUCCUUUGAGGACGCCAUUUGCUCACUUUGGGUCUUCUUCUUUAUCAACAUAAUUGGUAAUGCCUCUGUCCGGUCCAUUUAAAAAAAAAUCAUUCAAUAGUCAAAGUUUCAAAAGGAUUGACGUAAGACUAACUGAAAAUGCAUGGUAUUUAAUUAAUUAUUUGUAGUCAAUGAUGUCUUUGAAAUGAUUGACCUACGACAACUUCAAAAUGUCACUUAGUUGGAGUAUAUACUUUUGGCAAGUUUCCCUCCAUCCGAAAAUAUUAAACACAUUUUUGUAGGACAGCAAUGAGUUGAACAAGUAGCUUCUCCACUAAUAUGUAUAAAUCAUAUAUAGGUACAUUUGAAUACAAAUCUUUUUUUGUGAAAUCUUUUGAAUACAAAUCUAGCUAGUUACACCAAUUUUGUACCACAAAAUUUUAAGUAUAGGUCAAAGCCAAGUCUAACAAAACAUGAGUUUUGGCAUGGAGGAAAUAUUCACAGGUGCGUUUAGUAUUAACUAUAGAUCUCUUCUGAAACUAUAGAUCCCCCUACUGUUUUCUAGUUUUGUUUUGUAUUUGUUCAGAUGAAUUUUGAAUUGUUUAAAGACUAUAGCAUGUCGUCAUAUAUCAGGGCAUAGUUGUUCUCGUUUCCACCGUGCGAGUAUUUUUUUUCAAGUGGCGAGUUGAUUAAAACCAUUUUAUCAUUAUUUCUUAAAUCUCAGUCCCAUCUUCAAGUCCUCGAGUCUGCAGUCCAGUUGCAUUACUGACCAAGUGUUUGGGAGAGGUAUAGUCUUGACCAAGAGUUGUUUGGGUAGUAAGCACUUAAAACAAAAUUGGUAAAACUAAUGAUAGUUUUGUGAUAGUCCCAUCUUCGAAUCCUCGAGUCUACAACCCAGUUUUUCGUUAGGUACAUACUACUUCCUCUAUUUUACAAAUUUAUAAAAACUUUAUAGCAUUUUAGUUCAGUUUUGAUAUCUAAAUCUUUAAUGUGAAACGAGCUAAGGUUUAGAGCUAACAUUAGAUCACCUAUUUGGAGACUUUAGCUCUAUAGUUUAGAUGAGUGAAUUCAAAAUAGAUCCUUAUAAAAUUGGUAAAACGCAUGUUGCAGAUAUAUAGUGAACGAAGCAUAGAAAGUCAUGGAGGAACACACAUAAGUCACAUCAUGCAUAUGGCGCAUGCAUGCAUAACACAAUUUGCAAACAAAAAGAUGUGUGUAUCAUAAGGUAGCAACAGUGAACAUAGUACAAACCGGGAUCUCCUCCAAAAUCGUACGAAGACGGAUCGGAGGAGCAAAGGACAUGAACGGUUCCUCUCUCUCUCACGUACACACACACAUGUUGACGUACACGCUACACAGGCGUAUCACAGCGUAGUACACGACGACACGUACGGACGGAGAGAUUUUAUUCAGUAUAGUACGUAACAGUAGGCAACUCAUCAUCAUCAUCCAUGCGUAGAUAUAGAUCGAUACUCAUGGAGUCAUGAUCGAUGCUCCGGCGCCGAUCGACGACGGCGGAAAUGGAUCAUCGAUCGAUCAGGCGGCCGCCGCCGCCGUCGUCGUCUAGCUAGGUUUAGUUCACCCUGCAUGAUCAUUCAUGGAAAUGGGAAAAAAAAAAACACACAAAUUAGACGACGUGCGUGCGUACUUGUUGAUCGAGUCAGUACAUGCAUGCAAAAGUAGUAAAAUAUACUGUUACGUACUAUACUGAAUAAAAAAGCCAAUUCAUUCAGAUGAUCGAUGACUUGGCUUAGAUCUUACGGUAGGGUCGGUCGUACUCGUACGUACCUGGAGCAGUCGAUGGAGGCGCUGAUGGUGUAGGGGAUGUUGACGCCGCACUUGGAGGGGAUGCUGGCGGCGUUGCCGGCGUUGAGGCCGCUGACACGUCCGGCGGCGCUCUUGAGGCAGUUGCAGGCGGUGCGCUUGUCGGCGGUGCUGCUGGCGGCGGAGUUGAGGCUCCUGACGCCGCUGCAGCAGGCCGCGGAGGGUGCGGUGCCGGUGCCGCGGGCGUAGGCGAGGCAGGGGCUAAUCGCGGAGUUCACCUGCCCGCAGGUGACGGCGGCCUCCGACGUCGUCGUCGCCGCUGCCAGCAGCACCGCGGCCACGACGACGGCGAUCAUCGCCACAGCAAACUGCAUGCUGCGUGCCAUGUCGAUCGAUCGAGCUAUUCGUGUGUGCUGAGUGAUCUGAGUGCCUGACUGUGUGCUAGUAUGCUAGCUUUGGAAUGCAGUGAGAGCAAGUGCUAGCUGGUGAGGAGAAUAUGCAGUGAAAUGUUGGUCCUUAAAUAGGCUUGAGAUCGAUCUGAGAGCUACAAUGGCUGAUGACAGAUGUCAUGCAUGGUGUGUGCAUGCUGUUUCUUUCGGUAGAACAUCAUCAUCGUACAGUUAAGAGCCGGGCAGGAGGAGGUGGUUGGGUGUUGGGGGCAGGAGGCAGAUGGAGGAUGUGGAUGGAAAUACACAUAUGCAGUGGUUAGUGGAUGCAGAGUGAAUUCAUCAUCAGCAGCAGCAGCAGCAGCAAACUUAAUAAAUAGCAGCCGCCUAACACGACUUAAUAAUAAAUUAAACAGUUAAGCGUCAUUUAAUCUCAUCACCCGCCUCACUGAUUAAUCGAAUGAGGCCUUGUUUAGUUCACCCCAAAAUCCAAAAAUUUUUCAAGAUUCACUGUCACAUCGAAUCUUGGGGCACAUGCAUGGAGCACUAAAUAUAAACAAAAAUAAAAACUAAUUGCACAGUUUAUCUGUAAAUCACGAGAUGAAUCUUUUAAGCCUAGUUACUCUAUAAUUGGACAAUGUUUGUCAAAUAAAAACGAAAAUGCUACAGUUCCAAAAACCAAAAUGUUUUCGGAACUAAACAAUAUAUAGCCUCCCACAGGCUCACAAAAUCUGAGAACUCACCUAUAUGUGGCCAAUUCAUCUAACAUAGCCUUUUGGACCGUGUAUUUUUUCCUUCGAGUCUUUUGAUGUAACAGCGGUUCAAUUGCCUUGACCGAUGUUCCAUUGAUCCAAUUCGAUGUCACGAAAGAGGCUAUAUUUUUUACAUUGCCUGUGGUGACUAUAUAUAGUUAAUGAAUUGAAGAGCUUGUGAUCAGAUUUGUCACAAGGAAUCUCCGUAUUGCUCCACGCUCUUUCCUUUUGUUUCUACUUAAACCAUAGCCGUCAUCUCAAUUGGACAAUCCCUUCGCCUUGGGAAGGGCGUGGUGGUGGACUAGUUGAUCAACGAAUGUCCUCCAAUGAUGUUCUCAAGUGGUAUUUCUCCUCGCCAAAGAAAAUUACGCCACAUCCUGUCUAUUCUUUUGAGCCUGGAACACUAUCAAAUGGUAUAUUAUUGGCAGCGUCAUUAGAAUCAUUUCUGUACUGGUGUUUCUCUAUUAGAUGUUGGCAGGAAUUUUCCUUUCCACCCCGGGAGCCUGGCACCAAAAUCUUUUCUAUCAGUGGCUAGACCUCCCUCCUUUCUUAAUUUCCGGGUAUAUGUAAUUGAAGCCCUAAAUAUUUUCCCUGGGAAGUUGUGGAUGAGCGAAGGGACCAUGUUAGGUUGGAGCCAUAUUGGAAAAAAAAAAUAGUCUUGGACAUGUUAAUUUUUAGCCCUGAACAAUUUCCAAAGAAAUGUAGGAAUUUUGUAAGCUGCUCAACUGCUCUGAAGAUGGGUUUGCAAACAAACCCACAUUUUAUUUGUGUAGAGAGAGCACCACAAGUUUGCUGCUUCCGGUACAACCAGUUGUAGGAUAUCCUGUUGUGCCGCUCAUAUUCAAUGAUUUGUUGGUAGCGGGUCUACUGCUAACAUGCAUGAAAAGUAGGGGCCGGGAAAGCGGAUUGCUUUGCCUCAAUCCUCUUGCAUGUUUGAUGUUUUGACUCGAUCAUCUAUUUAUGAGAAUUUUGGAUGAGAAGGACCCUAAGUUUCUUUGAUAUCCAAUUAGGUCAUUUUGUGCUAAAACCAAGCGCAGUUAGAAAUUCCAGAAGGUGUGCCAUUCUAUGGAGUCGAAAGCUUUGGAGAUGUCCAGUUUUAUAAAUAGAUCGAGUGAGCUGAUUUUUUUCUGUAGAAGUUGAAUACUCUUUGUACAUAAAGAAAAUUGCCCCUUUUAUUGAUGAAUGCAUUUUGAGCAUGUGAAACCAACUCAUUCAUAUAUGGAGCUAGUCUAUUUGCAAAGAUUUUCGUAAUGAUUUUUAUGAGGCUGUUAAUUAGGCUAAUCAGUCUCUAUACUCAAACAUUGUUUGUGCUUCCUACUUCUUAGGGAGUAGAACUAUACUUGCUUCAUUAAACAACUGCAUUUUUGCAGUCCUAUGGUUGUCGUUCUUGAUUAUAUCCCAACUCUUCUUAUAGAAGAUCCCGAUAAGACCAACUAGUCCUGGGGCUUUCUACGACGGAAGCUCCUUGAUUAUGGUAAGUAGCUCCUGCUCUGUAAAUGGCAUGUCUAGUUCAUCAAGGUUAUGUGGAGAGUAACCCAACGUCUCCCAAUUGAUUGACUAUAUGUUCUUGUAGCUCUUGUUCCCUGGCUUUGGCGAAGAACUCAACAGGGGACCUCUGUUCCCACGUUGGGAAAUUGCGACCCUCUCCUCAAUGUGAAUUGUGCUUAUAUAUUUUUCCUUCGUCUAGCGUUUGCAUGUAGUUGGGAAAAAUGAGUAUUAGUAUCAUCAUUCCAUAUUUAGCUAGGUCAGUCAAAAGUGUUGUCUCGCCUUUGCUUUCUGUAUUGCGAUUAGACCCAUUGAUUUUGCCUUAAGAUAUUUCUUGAAUUCCACUUCUUCUAUUGUCAGGGGACGUCUUUUCUGUGCCUUCUCUAGCUCUCUAUAGGAUGAUGUGAAGGACGUCAUUCCCUAGUUUCCAUUCAGUAAACAGUGUAUGCUUCCAUACUUUUAACGCUCUUGCCAUGCGGAGGAGCUUGGUGUUUACUGUCUGUUCCCAUGUUGAACCAUCUAUAUAAACCCCAGCAUAUUUACCCAAUAGUAAAAAUGGAAACCAUGGCAAAAUUCAAAAGUAAUAUCCUCUACAAGAGCAAAAGACCAUGGUCCCAUUAUUUUGCUAUGUGAGCCCACUCCUCUUAUUUUUCACCUUUAUUUUGAUUAUGCUACUCAAGUGUUGUAUCUGACUUUUAUUUUUUGACUUGGCUUACUCCUCUUAAGAUGUCAUUUGUUCCAAAUCCUUAAUGUUGGAAGUGGUUAGAAUUCCUCUAGUAGCGGAGGUCAGUCGAGCCUACUCGCUCGCUGCAGCGAGAGGCUUGAGUGUGCUAACAAUCAAGGAAGAGAGAGCUCGAAACCCUAGAACAGUAGUGUUUCAGUAAAUUGGUUUCAACUAACUCUUGAAAGAGCAUUUAUAACCCCUUUAUAUAGGGUGCGGAUCCCAACCGAGAUCCGUUACAGCAAUGCCCCAUGACGGUGGCGGGAUAUUCCAGCAUAUUUCGCCACUACAAUCUAUAACCCACAGGGCUACUUGAGUAAUUUCGAACUGCAAGCUCUUUGCAGGCUGUCGCGUCGGAGUCCUGGUCCUAUCGUAGCUCGAUCCUUCUCCUAUCCUUCGUCGAGGCUCAUAGAUCCUCCGCCUUGCGGCCGACGAGGGAUCUUUGUCCGCCACUCAGAGGUUCUUCGGCUUGGUCGGGGUCAGCACGUCCUUCAUCACGCAAGGGCUGAAGGAUGGGCCCUUACCCCCUGUGAUUCUCCGCUCCAGGUUGGUUCCUGCACACAUGUCUCACCAAACCGAUCUGCAUCAGCAUUAAAUUUUUCCGAACCUUCGUCCCUUAUCGUCCGAAGGUUGGGGGCAUGAAGGUUCGGUCAUCGCGAUCGAGUUACAUCUUUUCUCUCCGAUGCAGCUAGGGGGUGAAGGCGUGGUUGAGUUCUCAAUACUUAAAUAUAUAAUUUGUCCAUACACAAAUUUCAAGUCGUUUUGGACAUGAUUUAGGAUGCCAAGAAGUGAUUAAUCAGAUGUAUUUUUUCUUAUCAGCACCUAUUAUUAAAUAGAGUUCGGGUUUCUCCAUAGAUCAACCACUCGUCGCUAUACUGGCAAGCAGUGUGAAGCCCAAGGUGUUAGGUCUUAGGUUUAAUCCCUUGCUUUCAGUUCUUUUUUAAUUGGUGGUCGUUUUUUUCCAUAGCCUGCAUGGCUAAGCGAUACAAUUGGCUCUUCGACGUUCGAGUGUGUGUGAAGUGAGAGGAGCCAUGAUUUACUUAUGAAUGCACAUGGCGUGAGAGGAGGCACGAGUUACUUUCCUCUUCAAGACUGAGACUGAGCGACUGGACACGGGAGACGAAGGACCGGGGGGUGAUUAACUUUGUUCAAAAUGUUGUUAAAGAUGCAAAAAGACUUCAAUUGUGAACACCCCACUCACCAUCCAAAACUACUUUAAUUUGAAAUAUGAAGGGAGUCUUCACAAAGUUGUGAAUAUAAGUUAUGUUCCGUAAAAUAUUAUGAUAAAAGUUGUGUGUGUAACUUGGUACGUUUGAUUGAGUGCAGCGUGAUCUAUUUUUCUCUUCGAGAGUGGUUGACUCGACAUGGGAGACGAAGGACAACCAGGGUGGAUUCAUGCAAAAUGACUUCAAUUGUGAACACCCCAAUCACCCUCCAAAACAACUUCAGUUUUGAGUACGGAGGGAGUAUCAUUAUUCCUGUUAUGUAAGCCCACUUUUAGGUCCAGAUUAAUUAGCUUUACUGCAUAUAUGUAAAUAUGUCAAAUAUAUACUUUUUGAAAUAAACUAUAUUCAAAACAAAUCUACCCACAUCAUCACUUCCAUACAUUCAAACUAAACAUGUAAACAUCAUUCAAUAGUCAAGAGGUUUCGAGAUGAUUGACGUAAGACAACCUGAAAAUGUCGAUUUAAUAAAAAAAUCAAAGCAUUUGUCGUCAAAGUAAUUUUUGAAAUGAUUGACCCACAUCAUCACUUUAAUACAUUCAAACUAAACAUGUAGUGUUAAUAAUUAUACAUCUUCUGCUACCUACCAAUAAGCCCCUCACGCAGCACACGGCUCCGUUUUCUAGUUUUUGUCUUGUAUUCGUUCAUCAGAUGAAUUCUGUAUUUGAAGAGCAGUGCGUGUCGCCACCUCAUGAAAAAAGCGUGCCAGCUAGGUACUUGUUUUAAUUUCCACCGUGUGAGUAUUUUUUUUGAAGUGGUGAGUUAAUUAAAUGAAACCAUUUAAUUUUUCGAAUCACAAAGUCUGCAACCCAGUUUUGCAACCAUAUAGCGAAUGAAGCAUAAUCGAAAAGUCAUGGAACACAGUCACAUCACAUGCAUGGCCCACAUGCAUGCAUAACGACAAUUUGUAAACAAAAAGAUGUGAGUGCAUCAUAAGGUAGCAGUGAUCGAACAAAAUACGUGUCCUCCAAAACCGUACGGAGAACGGAUCGGAGGAAGUAUGUUUUUGACGAUGGUAAAGUUUAUUUUGCGUAUAUGCUUUCACUUUUUCAUCCAUUAGAAGUGUGCAAACACACAUCUCAAUGUGUGAAACUGCUUUAAGAUAUGUGUUUACACACUUCUCAAAGCGAGUCCAAUAGAUGGGAGAGUGAGAGUAUAUGCCCUCAAGGACAAAAAAAAACAAAAAAAACUUUUGACGAUAAGAUGUAGUGCCCGUUUUUCAUUAAGUGGAAAUGAUCGUAGAAAGUACACGGAAACAACAAGCCAAAGGACAUCUCUCUCACACACACGUACGACACGGACGUACAUACGGAGAGAUUUUUUAUUCAGUAUACGACGUAGCAGUAUAUAUAGUAGACAACUCAUCAUCACCCGUAGAUAGAUAGAGACUCAAGCAUGGUCGUCGUCGAUGCUCCGGCGCCGACGACGGCGGCGGAAUGGAUCAUCGAUCGACGAUCAUCAGGUCGUCGUUUCGGUUUAGCUCACCCUGGAGCAGUCGGUGGAGGUGCUGAUGGUGUAGGGGAUGCUGACGCCGCACUUGGAGGGGAUGCUGGCGGCCUUGCCGACGUUGAGGCCGCGGAUGCCACGGGCGGCGUUCUUGAGGCAGUUGCAGGCGGCGCGCCUGUCGGCGGUGGUGCGGGCGGCGGAGUUGAGGCUCCUGACGCCGCUGCAGCAGCCUGCGGAGGGUCCAGAGCCCUGGCCGCGGGCGUAGGACAGGCAGGGCCCGAUGGCGGAGCUCACCUGACCGCAUGUCACGGCGGCCUCCGAGGUCGUCGCCGCCAGCACCACCGCCGCCACGACGGCGAUCGCCACAGCAAGCUUCAUGCUGCGAGCCAUGUCGAUCUCGAUCGACCUCCUGUGAUAUAUGUGCUGAUGCUCGUAGGUGACUGAUAGCUUUUGGGAUGCAGUGAGUGAGCAAGUGCUAGCUGGUGAGGAGAUUGCAAUGGAAUGUUGCUCCUUAAAUAGGCAGGCUUUGUGAUCGAUGUGUGAGCUAGCUAGCGAUUGCUGAUGAGUGAUGUGCAUGCAUGGGAUGGGUGUGCAUGCUGUUUCAGUCGGUGGAUGCAUGCAUAUGCGUAUAUGUCCAUGGAUCGAUGGUAUCUCUCGCCAUGCAUCGAAGUUAACUGCUGGGGAGGAGGUGGUUGGGUGUUGAGGGAGGAGGGCAGAUGCUUGUUUAGUUGUUGUAAUACCCGAUUUUAAGGACAAAACCAGAUAUGCACCAUAUGUGAGUUUUAAAAGCCAAAUCUCACAUAUAGCUACAAAUAAGGGGUAAUAUCAAAAGACAAUGCAAAAAUUAUAUAACGUACAUAAUAUAAAAGAGAUAACCUUUGAUAGCAAACAACGGAUAGACAACUCCAAACUCCGGGUAUUAACUUCUCUCUACAGGAUCCAACUGACUGGUUGAUCACAAGCCUAAACUUCUCCUGAGGUUUGGGGGAAAUAGCAAGAGUGAGUCCAUGUCAAACUCCACAAGUAUAGCAACUAGAUUGUAUAGCUCCCACAAUCUCAUGAUCAAUGUGACAUAAAUAAUGUAAAGCAUUAAACAAUAAGCAAUGAGCAUAUUUAACACACAAGAUUCAUCACCCUUAAUGUAGAUGUCCCCAAGGCCGUUCCUGACCGUGAGCUCGGCUAGUAUACUAGUUUUAACACUCUGCAGAGGUUGCACAUCUUUACCCAUGAGUCAUGAUUUACCCUUUCGCCCGAGGUGAUCAGCCUCUUAACCCACUUCCAAGGAAGGUCGGCAGGGAUCACUAUGAAGCCUUUCAAAAGUUCGUCUAACAUGUUAGGGCCGCAAGGUUUCCUUUGCGAGCAGAUAUAGAUACCCCCCUUCCGAAUGGCACAAUGACGCGCAGCCUAUACACAUAGGGACAGGGGCUCGCACUAUACCCGUGUCGGUUCAGCCCCUCCGCCCUUUCGGGUAACCUCUAACAAGCUAGAAAAGGUCUUCAUACUGAGCUAAAGCCAGAGCCAUUAUAGCCCUCAUGGUUGCACUGUUAUCCCGGGUGAUCACGUACAGACAAAUCAUCAAGUUGUUAAAAAGUCAUUUUUACCAUUUAUUACUUAACAUUAAUCUAGUCACAGGAUCAUGGUCACAGAAAUAAAAUCCAAAUGCUAUACUUGCCUCAAUCCAAUUGCUCUUGCUUAUCCUUUUGGUCCUGCUGGUCUCACUUGUUGCCAAAGCUUUGAUCUUGAUCACCGAAACUGCUCUCCGUCUAAACUCGAUCAUCGAUCAUCAACACACAAACAAUCGGACACAACAUACACGUAGCAAACAAGGCUAUAAUUAGAACAGUACACCAAUCAUAUAAAAACAAUAUGAAAAAUUUGUAAAAUAAUUCUACGCAUCGCUACGAUCUCACAGACGUAAAGAUGACGAAAAUCGGAGUUAAAACGGAAAAGAUAUGGAUUUUCUAAGAUUUUAUAUAGAAAAGUAAUUAAUUAAUUAAGGUCACGAAAUUAAAAGGUUUCAAACUGAGUGAACAAUAUUACUAACAUGUAGUGCUCGUGAUUACGAACCUAACACAAUUUCAAUGGACAAAACGGAGUUAAAACAGAGAUGAUAUGGCCUAAAUAAACUAGCGUAUUUUCUUUGUAUUUUUAGGUUUGUUUUUCUAAAGGAAAACGGCAAUAAAACAUGUCUAUGUUAUAACGACGUCAUCAAGCUAGCCAGCAACGUUUAUUCGCAGAUAUAUGUUAGACAUGUACAUCCCUAGAUCGAUUGCUGCGCAGAUAGAAACAUCGCCGGGCGAAACAAAUCAGUGCAUGCACUUGUAGAGGCUUUGUGAAAUUUCUCACACAGGAAUCGACAUAUUAAAGAUGCAAAGUUACCUCUUAUGGUGAUUAUAAGAUUCAAUAGGACAUGCUUGCCGAACGAUGGGUCAGUGGCCACGUCGUCAAGAACAGGUUGAUCUACGGCAACACCUUCUACUCCCGUGCUCUGUUGCUUGCUACUCUUCACGUGGCCAGCGAUUUGGUCUUCUGCUUCUUUGGUCCACAAUCACGAUGGUUCACCGGAACAUGGCAAGCAGCUCUGGCAAGCAGGACGUGGCAAGAGCAGAGCGGCGGCCGUAACAUGGCAAGGGCAGCAUCUAUCUAGGCAUGGCCGACGGCGGCGGCUCUCAAGGGUUUUAAGGACGUAAACACUCUAGACGAAUAUGACGUGUAUAUAUACGUGCGGUCUAGAUCAAGUUUGAUUAGGGUUAGAACUUAUUAUUUUUGGAAUUAAUUAUUUUCAUGGAUAAAAUAAUUAUAGAAAAGUCCAGAAUUAUUAUUUAAACUAUGAAAAAUAUUCUAAAAGCUCUGAAAAUUCGGAGAAAAUUCUCAGAGACAUUAUGGAAUAUGAGGAACUCAAAUAACGUAUUUGGACCUCAUGAUAAGAUAAUUUGGAGCAUCUAAAAAUUAGAUUUAUGCUCAUAGAAAAGUGAGAAUAGAAGAUGGAAAAAUUCCCGAAAAGUUUGUAGAGAUUGCUUGAUGGACGAGGAACUAAAAGAAGUGCUUUGAGUGACAAAGAAAAGAUUUUAGGAAGCUCCUAAUAAAAAAUUGAGCUGAGAAACCAAAGAAUUUGGUUAUAGAUAAAGAUAAAGACGUACUGGUCAAGGAAGAUCUACUAAACGCAUUUUAAAACUUUGCUCACUCAACACAUAAAGGAGCAACAAGUCAACAUCACAUCAAAACAUAUGCACCAGCAUGUAUGCACAACAAUAUUGCUAAGGCUUAUGAUAAAUUUUAAUUUAAUGAAAAUUAUUAUUUUCCUUAUAUUUUCGUGAGCACAAAAUACAAAACUGAAUAAAUUUUCAUCUAUUUUGAAAAGAGCAAAAUUUAGGGUGUUACAGUUGUCAAAAUUUUUUAAAAUUCUCAAUCAAAUUAAAUCUUGGGACACAAUGUAUCAAAUAUUAAAUAUAGAUAAAAAUUAAUUAAUUAUAUAGUUUGUAUAUAAUUUGCGAGAUAAAUUUUGUAAACCUAGUUAAUCUAUAAUUAAACAAAAAUUAUUAAAUAUAAACGGUGCUAUAGUAACUAGAUCCAAAAAUUUUCACCAACUAAGGGCUUGUACAACGAUGGGCGCUUAUGAUCAGGUAUUGGCCGUUAAAUAGUUUUUUUGCCACACGGUGGAGUCCUGAGCGGGCGCUUAAAAAUAGAUUUGCCGCUCCGUAAAGCAUCGACGCCUAGACCGGCUCCUUGCUUGAUACUGGUGUUUGCAUGCGACGUAACGGUCACAACUUAAGCGCCUUCAAAUACGUGUUGUGUUGUAGAUUAAGGUUAUAAAGAGACGCUUAGUUACAAAAGUAUUUUCUCUUUCCAUCUAAGCGCCUUUUGCAUUGUACGUGCUCUAAACAAGGCCACAGAUACAGACAUACAGUGGUUAGCUGAGGCAGAGUGAAAUCAUUAGCAGCAAACAUAUAAUAAAUAGCAGCCGCCUAGCACGACUUAGCGCCACUUAAGUUUUGUUUAGUUACGCUCGAAAUCCAAAAACUUUUCAAGGUUCUCUUCACGUCGAAUUUAGAGACACAUACAUGUAGCACGACUUAGCGCCACUUAAGUUUUGUUUAGUUACACUCGAAAUCCAAAAACUUUUCAAAGUUCCCUUCACGUCGAAUUUAGAGACACAUACAUGAAGCAUUAAAUAUAAAUAAAAAAAUAACUAAUUACAUAAUUUAUCUGUAAUUUGAGAGACGAAGCUUUUGAGUCUAGUUAGUCUAUAGUUGAACAAUAAUUAUCAAAUAUAAAAAAAAAUGUUAUAGUACCAAAAAAAUCUUUUCACUCACGAACUAAAUAAAGGCCCUAAUCUCAUCAUCCGCCUCACUGUUUAAUCGAAUGUCCUUGAUGGCCACCCACAGGCUCACAAAACCUGAGACGGUGAGACCUUGCCUGGGGUAGUAUAUGGGGCCAAUGGCCAAUCCAUUUAUCAGUUUGCCCAAGGCAGGUGGUGGGCCACUCUGUUCAAUUUUGAGUCUAAUAUAUGCAAUAUCUUCUCUUUUGUGCAAUUUUUGUCCGUGGGUUCAAACAAUCCUGCCACCGUGUCACCGGUGGCUGAUCGUGUCAACCCUUCGCCGCAGUCCGCUCCACCACAGUACGGGGGGCCCAGUUGCAGUCUCUGCCACCGCAGUAGGGAUGUUGAACUUGUAAUAAUAAAUAUGUGAGUGCUUUUAAUAUAUAAUGCAUGUUGGUGAUAUAGAUGUGAUAAUUGGCGUGUGUGUAUAUAUAUUGUCUGUUACAAUGGAAUGUAAAAAAUAAAACAAAUACAAUUCUCGGGGUCUUCGCCGAGUGCGGUGCCAGGGUCACUUGGCAAAGCAAUUUAAAAAAACAAUUUUGCCGAGUGUCGGGGCCACGACCACUCGGCAAAGAAUUUUUCUUUAAAAAAGAAAAGACACUUUGCCGAGUGCUGAUGCUAGGGGCACUAGGCAAAGUAUUUUUAAAAAAAACAAAUAUGCGGAGUGCCGCGGCAAGGGACACUCAGCAAAUAUUUUUUUUUUAAAAAAAAAGAAAGAAAAUCUUUGUCGAGUGCCUGAGGCCAGAGGCACUUGGCAAAGCAAUUUUUUUUAAAAAAACUUUGCCGAGUGUUAAGGGGCCAGGGGCACACGGUAAAAUAUUUUUUAAAAAACAAAAACUUUGUCGAGUGUCGUGUCGGGCAACUCGGCAAAAUAACUGUUAACGGCAGAUGCUGUGACGGCCAAAAAUGUUGCCGAGUGCUGUCGUAAGCACUCAGUAAAAUGUUUUUAAUAUUUUGCUAAGUGCCUCGGUAAAAAGCACUCAGCAAAGUCUCUUUGUCGAAAAUUUUUUUGCCGAGCGAACUUUGCUGAGUGCUACGUUCGGCAAAGCCUUUGCCGAGUGCAAAGGGCUCUUUGUCGAAUGUAAAAACACUCGGCAAAGUCCUAAUUUCCAGUGGUGGGUGUGCUGGGACAAUUUAGAAAGCAAGCAACGAUUUCAUUUUGCGUUAGAUCACUCCCAUCCUCGAAGCCUCAGUUUUUUUUUUCAGAAAUAAGUUCCAGCUGUUGCUGCUGAGAACUAAAAGAAGCUUUUCACCCUUGAUUGAUCAAUGGAUUGGCUCUCUAGUUUAACAGGCUUCUUUGUUGUACUCUUUUUGCUCUUUUUUCCUUAGUUUUUUUGUUCCUUAGUUAAGACUCCACCCUACUGCCUCCUUAACUGUUGUGCUUUUUUUUUUGUAAAAGACCUUUUUUAUUAUAAUUUUUGCAUUGUUGUAGGGGUGCAAACCCCUCCAAUCUCCUUCAAAAAAUUCAAAAGUAAUAUAACCUUGCAGAACAAAGGACGGUAAUCCCACCAUUUUGCUAUGUGAGCCCACUCCUCUUAUUUUUUUUACUUUUAUUUUGAUUAUGCCCACUCCUGUUAAGCAGUCAUUUGUUCCAUUCCCUAAAUAUAUUUCUAUUUUUUAGAAUAUUCAAUAAGGCGUAUAUACAUUAUAUUUUAAGAAAUAAACUAUAUUCAAGACAAAUCUACCCACAUCAAUAUUACUUGUAUACAUUCAAAUAAACAUGUAGACAUAAUAAUUCGAUAGUUAAGGUUUCAAAAUGAUUGAAAUAAGACAACUUGAAAUAUGUCACAAUAAAAAAUUAUUUGUGGUCAAAGUUUCUGAAAUUAUUGACUUACGACAACGUACAUCCAAGUGUCACUUAAUUGCUUUGUGAGCAGAGGGAGUAUAUAUUUUGGCAAGUUACCCUCCAUCUAAAAAUAUAAAACACAUGUUUUUAGGACAGUAAGAUUUGACCAAUAGGUGCUUGUGCCAUUAAUAUGCAUAAAUCAUAGAUACUUUUGAAUACAAAUAUCUAGUUACAUCAAUUUGCUACCACAAAAUUGCAAGUAUCUUGGUUAAAGCCAUGUCUAACAAAACAUGAGCUUUGGGAUGGAUAUAUAUCAUAUUGGUGUGUACGUUUAGUAGUCUCUCUUCGUUUCAAUUUAUUAGAUGUUGUUUUGGCUUUUGUAGAUACAAAAAUUUUUUUAUGUAUCUAGAUAACGUUUAUUAUGAUAUAGAUAUAUCGUAUAUCUAUAUGCCUAAAAAACUGAAUAUCUAGAAAAACUAAAAUAACCUAUAAUUUAGGAUAGAGGGUGGUAAUAAUUAUACAUCUUCUGCUACCAAGUCCCUUAAUUACAGCACACAGCUCUGUUUUCUAGUUGCCUUGAUCGUUCAUCAGAUGAAUUAUGUAUUUGAAGAGUAGCGCGUGUGUGGUCAUGUCAUGAAAACGUGCUAGCUAGGUACUUGUUUUAAUUUCCACCGUGUGAGUAUUUUUUUUUUUCAAGUGGCGAGAGUUCAUUAAUUAAAUAAAACCAUUCAAUUUUUCAAAUCACAAUACGUUGUCUGCAAAUCCUCUGAGUCAGCCAGUUUUUCGUUACGUGCUAUACUCCGUCCAUUCUAAAUUAUGUUUUUUAAACUUUUUGGUAUAUUCAUUUUGCUACAUACUAAAAAAAUUAAAAAUAACUUAUAAUUUAGAACAGAAGAGGUAUAUAUAUAGUUGCAUAUAUGCUGACAAGUGUUUGGGGGAGAAUAGAGCAGUAACUCUCUUGACCAAGCGUUUGGGAGUCAUGGAACACAGUCACAUGGCGCAUGCAUGCGUAACAACAAUUUGGAAACAAAGAGAUGUGUGUGUGCAUGUAGCAGUGAUCGAACUAGUACAAACCACAGGAGCGAGAGGAAACGUACACGGACAUAAAUAAUAAACACCGCACAUAGUGCAUGCACUCAAAAAUAAACCCAACAAGCAAAAGUACAUCUCUCACACACACAUGUACACACGCACGUACGUACAUACGCUAAGAUGCAAGCGUAUCACAGCGUACACGACGACACGUACGUACAUACGGAGAGAUUUUUAUUCAGUAGUACGACGUAGCAGUAGUAGACAACUCAUCAUCUCAUCAUAUCAGGCGUAGAUAGAUACUCAUCCAUGGUCGAUGCUCCGGCGCCGAUCGACGACGACGGCGGCGGCGGCGGAAUGGAUCAUCGAUCGAUCGAUCAUCGUUUAGGUUUAGUUCACCCUGCAUGAUCAUGCAUGCAUGGAAGACGAAGCACAAGUUAAUUAAACGACUUGAUAUUCAAGUUGAAUCAGACCAUGCAUGCAUGCAAAGUUGCAAACAACUUGUAGUGAUUGGAUCAUUCAUUCAGAUCAUCACUUAAUUACCUGGAGCAGUCGGUGGAGGUGCUGAUGGUGUAGGGGACGCUGACGCCGCACUUGGAGGGGAUGCUGGCGGCGUUGCCGGCGUUGAGGCCGCUGAUGCCACGGGCGGCGUUCUUGAGGCAGUUGCAGGCGGCGCGCCUGUCGGCGGUGGUGCGGGCGGCGGAGUUGAGGCUCCUGACGCCGCUGCAGCAGCCUGCUGAGGGUGCGGAGCCCUGGCCCCGGGCGUAGGACAGGCAGGGCGCGAUGGCCGAGCUCACCUGCCCGCAGGAGAUGGCCGCCUCCGAGGUCGUCGCCGCCAGCACCACCACCGCCGCCGCCGCCACCACGGCGAUCGCCACAGCAAGCCGAGCCAUGUCGUCGAUGUUCUGGGGGUGUCUGAGACUUGCUUGUACUAGCUUUGGAAUGCAAGUGAGCAAGUGCUAGCCGCUGGUGAGGAGAGUGAGAUGGAGUGUGGCUCCUUAAAUAGGCAGGCUUGCGAUCGAUCUGAUCUGAUCUGAUCUGGGAGCUAGCUACAGUAGCUUGUCAUUGCUGAUGACAGAUGUGCAUGCAUGCACGGUGUUGUUGCAUUGCAUGCAGUUUCAGGCAGGCAGUCGGUGGAAUGGUGGAUGCAUGCAUAUGAAUGAAUGAAUAUGGUGGAUGUUCCAACAUCAUCUUCCAUGGACGACGGACGGUAUCGUCGCCAUCCGUCGAAGUUAAUUGCUGGGCAGGAGGUGGUUGGGUGUUGGGAGCAGGAGGCAGAUAGAUACAGAUAAUACUACAGCGGUUAGUUGAUGAGGGCAUGAUCGAGGCAGAGUGAAUUCAUUUGCAGCAGCAAUAGCAACUUAUUAGGGUAUGUUAUACUAUAACACUUUCGUUUAUAUUUAGCAAUAAAUAUUUAAUUAUAGACUAACUAGACUCAACAAGUACUUUAUCUCGCGAUUUACAUAUACAAACUAUGUAGUUAAUUAUUUUUUUUUUAUUUAUAUAUAUUUUAUGUUUCGUACAUGCGUCUAAAGAUUCGAUGCGACGAGAAAUCUUAUAAACAUUUAGAAUUUUAAAGACAUUUAAACACGCCCUUAAAUAGCAGCCGCCUAACACGACUUAGCAGGCAGGGUGAUGGCGGCAGUCGGCAGGGACGGACGUACGUGGCUCUCAUCUGAUGAAGUUGGAGGCGUAUUCACUCUCUCUCACUAGUGUGUCAGUGUGAGGUAGUUUGCAGUUGGAUCCGAGUGCUUAUCGCACAAUAAACACAUACUCUUCCUGCAUUAAGACGUCAAUUAUAUAUGGAUCGUCCAUCAUCCAUGAAUCCUUCCAGUAGUCUUCGUUAAUUCCUCCCGGCCGCAACCAGAAACAGAGAUAUCAGUACAGUGCAGGAGGUUACAUGCACAUUCACAAAUUGAAGUUGCAGCAGUGGUAGCGAUUAAGUUGUCCAGCAAGUAUGGGAGCCCACAUGUCGCUGUCUCGAUCGGAAGCUCCGCCACGUAUUACAUACAUGCAUCCCGUCCCCAACCUAGCUAGCUACCUCUGUGUGCACAGGCAGGUACCACCGACGGUUUCCCAAAACUCGUAUGUGUCCGACCCUCAAAAACAAAUCUCUCAAUUUUUGUUCAAAACAAACAAAUUUUUUAAAAUUUUAGAUUCAAAAACAAACAACUUUUGACCAUCAAAGAAAAAUACUGCUCUACCUCGAUCCGUUCUAAAAAGAACUUGGGAUUAUAUUCUAGAAAGUAACAGAUAGAUUCGUGUGUAAUGUUUAGAGAUGAGAUCUUGUAUGAAAAGAUUGGUUGAUGCGUAUAGAGCAACUUCAACCAAACUUCUAAAUGAACCUCUACCUUUUUAUAUAAAGGGGCUAAAACUCAAAUAUACUCUCGAACUGAUCCGGUCCCGACGGAGAGGGGCUCCCAUUUAUCUUUCCUCUAGAUGUAUGAGGCGGUGUUUCGGAUGGUUUGAUUCAAUUCCUUGCAGCUGCUAUUCAAUGAUGUCUUAACUGUAGCUCAUUUCUACCACUCUUAAUUAUGUAUGGCGAAGAGAAGAUUAAGCUCCCAAUCGAGUCCGAGUUGGAGGAUUUCGGUGCAACGUGGAGUUUGAUCUCUGCAUGGAUCGUUAAAUCUAAGUUGAGGUCAAUGUUUGUACUACAGAUCAUAGUACAUUGUGGUUGCCCUUGUUUGUAUGAGAUCUAGUGUAGAAUUUGUUGAUACUUUGUUGGCUACACAUUUGAUGGUUCCUUUCACUUAGGUUUCUUGGAUGAGCAGUUGUAAAUGCCAUUGCUUUCAUUAGUCGGCAGUUUGGUGCGCAUAGUGGUGUUCACAUGUGCUAGUUGCUCAUUUAGUGAUUGUGGUUCCUGAAUUAUGUGUUUGAGGUGGAGCACAUUUAGAAAGUAUGGAUUUGCAUUCUUCACUAUCUGUUCAAUUAAUGCCUUAGGUGAUUUCUUCGCAUACCCUUUCGUGAUCGAGCAAUUUGUUCAGACUUGGGUUAGAAGGCAGUAGCACAUGCUCAAACAUUUGCUGCGGUUAGAAUUUGUCGAAGACUCAGUUUUGUUCAUCUGAAUUUGGUGAGACACGAUUUGAACUUCCUAGUUAUUCUUGCUUGCUCGAUUUGGUAGCUUCUUGUGAAGCAUUUGUUGGUGGUUUUGUUAGUGUAUUUGACUUGGUGUUGGAGAUUUGAGCAUUUUGCAUCAUGAUCAUUGGUGUGUUGGCCAUGUUGUUCACUCAUUGGAGUUCACUCAUGAAUUUGUUUCUAGCUUCAUCAUUUGCCAAGUCAAAACAAGCUACCUUCAUGUUGGAGGCGAUAAAUUUGUCUUUUUUAUUAUUUAUUUGAAGAUGAAGGAUUUGAAGAUUGGACUUCCCUCAUCAAGAAUCUUGAUGUGUUCGCUCUAUGGUUCAAUCGUCGCCGAGGUAUAGAAUUGUGAUGUUGCAGCUUCUAAUAACACCAUUUGAGGCUUUACAUUAUGCAGAAUGUUACCUAUAUGUUUGGUUAGGUGUCUAGGAACUUAUUUGUGGUAAUCUGUAACUUUGAGAGCCUUUUAAUGAAAUGCCCAAACCAGCCCAAAAAGGGCAUCCCAAGCUCCCUGCUUCUGUAGGUGCAUGCUCUUCCCCUUUGGGGGGUUGAGAGAGGCCGGGAGAGGAGAUUUGAGGGUGGGGCUUUGUUUUACCAAAUCUGAACAUUAUAGAGUGAAAUCGGAGGGGAUUUAGAGCCUUCGCCAACCUUGUUAGUUCACGCCUCUUGUAUCAUCAUCUUCACAGUGGAUUGCUUGCUCGUCGCCGCCUGUGGUUUUUCCUACAAGGGGUUUCCACAUAAAUCUUAGUCUCUACCUAUGAUUCAGUAUUUAUCUUGCCAUACUUGUUGAUUCAUACCAAUCUUGCUUACAUGGUGUCAUUUCUCCAAGUUCAUGGUGUAUGAUUGAUAUUGACGUAUGAUGCAUACAUGCAUUCUCUUAUAUGUUAAUGAUGGGGAUUGAUGUGUUAGUGAGUUCAUAUUUACAAGUAUACUCAUUAUUGUGAAGUUUGCAUAGCACCAUGUCUGAAGAAUUGAUAAUAUGGGUCUGAUUUGUAUUUUGCACAUAAGGUGUUAGUUGAAAUAUUCAUGAGUAACUAGCUUGCUAAUUUUGAUGUUUCCUCUGCCUCUAUGCGCUUACAAUAAGUUUAUGGAAUAAAUUUUAGAUCCUUAAUUGAUAUUUAUCUUUGGAAAUAGAGGAAGUAAUAAAUGGUCCCAAUUUGCUAGCCACUUGUACAUAGUUAUACUAUAUACAAGCUUAUGCAAGUCAAAAUGUAAAAAACAAGAAGAACCAAGAAACAUGAACAAAAUACAUACAUACACUUAUGCAAGAUGUAGUAUAUAACUUUUAGGACAAUAUUUAUUUUGGCUCUGUUUCACUAGUGGAGUAGCUUUUUCCACUGGUAAAGGUAAAAUUGUUUUAGUUGUUUGGUCAAACAACUUCUCUAAUUCUUAAAAACAAAAAAUGACUAUAAUACUCUUUUUUGGCUGGCCGAGCUUUAAAAUUUUUAUCUUCUUUUUUAUGAAUUCUUCUUUAUGUGGCUACCAUCUGUUUGUCCUCCCCGCUUAUCCCCUGGUGCCCCGACCCGUCCACCUCCGCCUCAGCUUUGCCACCUUCAUCCUCAUCCAGCCACCAGAUGUUUCUCCUCAGUGUUCAUCCCAUGGUCCCCGCCCAUCUCCCACCGGUGACUCCACCCCUCACACCUCAAUGACUCCACCCCGCCCUUGUUACAUCAUUCUUCGUUGUAGUUUUGUUUGCAUCCAAUGACUUCAGUCACCCCCACAACUCUAGCCCCAUGCCACACUUGUCAUGGUGCAUGUAUUUGCCGCACCAUGCCUAUACAAAGAUGGCCCUCAUGACUUGAUGGAAGAGCUAAGCAAAGCCAUUUUUAGCUUCCCUAGAUGUGAGCGCGUGUAAGAUCGUGUUUUCCGAAGUUAGCACGAGGAGUAGCAACAGCUUUCAAGAUGGCAACGGGCCCCGAUCCCCGAUGGGGAUUUCAUCCAUUAGGGGACGAGAACGGGAAAAUUUUGAUCCCCGUAGGGGGACUUCAUGAGAAAGAAGGAUCCUCCAUCAGGUGAAGCGGGGAUGCAAACAUUCUAGGCUUCAUCCUUUAGCCUGACCCAACAAAUGAAAUAGGUCCAGUUUCUAACACCUAAAAAAAUCAUAUAAAAGCAAGAGCAUUUGUAACCCUAGUGAUCCACCAUUGCUUCUAGGCUUCUAGCUGAGUUGUCACUUCCACCGGUCCUCCUCCACUCCUCCUGUAUGCCUCUAAAGUCCAAGCUCAUCCUAUCUCCCUCUCUCCCCUCUACCCUCUGUCUCGCACCAACGACGUUGUGGUGGCGGUGAUGCUUGCGGGCUGUGGCCACAUGCUCUGGUAAGCAAGCACUGCUCUAGGGUUGAACCUGACAACAGCGGAGCCACGGAUGAGGUGUUCAAGGGAAGACGUGAAGGGCAACACCAAGGGGUUUAUCGGGGAUAGAGACCCCGCCGAGUGUGUAAUCUCGGGGACAGGGAUGGGGAAAUCUGGUACCCAGGUGCAGGGAUAGGAACAGGGACGGGGAGCGGGGUGUUUUUCUUUUCUCAUGGUCAAAACGUUCAAGCAAAACCUGACGGGGAUAGCCCCGUUGCCAUCUUUAAACGGCUCUCCUUCACCUGUUCGGUAGACGAACACGUAGACCAACUCUAGGAGCAGUUUGAUUUACAUUUCCUGACGGUUGACGGAGUUAGUAAUUAAUUACGUAAGAGUAGUUGAAGGAGCUUCCCGGCACCAUAUACUUGCGAGUGAUAUGCAGGGGUUACAAUAAUUACAGUUUACAAUGCUCGUCUCUUUAAUUAUGCGACGGGACGUGACGAUGGCCCAGCGGCUCAGCUGCAUGCAUGGAUCAAUCGAUCGAUCGCCAAUUAUCAAAAAAACCAAUCGAUCGACAGCUAGGUAAACUACCAGCUGCGGAUUAUAAAUUAUUCACGCUCAUCAUAUACAUAUAUAAUUAUAUAUACACGUACGUACGCUUCUGAGUACGAGCGACGAAAGUGUGGUGCAAGUGCAGCGUACAUGCCGGUACAGCGGCCAUCAUAUCAAGAUAUGUAUCCAUCUCCUACUACUGUACACAUUUGUAUCCUUACGGAGAUACAGUAUAUCAAGAUCAUCCUCUGACUCACUGCAUAGUCUGCACCGCAUCACGUACGUGCCGAAUACGUACAAGACUGAUUCAUGCUACAUAGUACGUGCGCCACACUCCUCGAUCGAUCGGUACAUCUUCACGUGUCCAUGUUCCUCAUCAACGAAUUAAUGCAUUUGUUUUCACAUGCCGCAUGCAUGAGAGUCGUCGGUCGUGGUGCCACUGUGCACACAUGCUUGAGUCCUUUGCUUUUCCUGUGCUCCAAUUCUUUUUUUCCAUAUACUCUACUCCCCGUCCCAAAAAAAGUGUCGUUUUAGAAUUUCAAACAUCUUAUUUGAUCAUCCAUUUUAUUCAAAAUUUUUACAUAAGUAUUAUAAAUUUUGUUAAGACCUAUUUAUCAUUAGAGAUACUUUACUAAUGAUUUAUUUAUUUUAUAAUUUACACAAAAUUUUUGAAUAAGACGAACGAUCAAACACGAUUUCUAAAAAUAAAAAACGUCACUUUUUUUAGAAUGGAGGGAGUACAUUAUUUUCAGAUGCCCAUCCUAGAGUAUGUAGUACCAUUCCAUGUAACAGCUAGUACCUUGUACCUAGGAUGGAGUACGUACUACUCGUGCUUGCAGUAGCGCGCGAAAGUGGACGACAGCACGCCCAUACGGCCAUCCGCUCACCAUUGUCUACAUCCUAGCUUUCUACGUACGUGUGUACCUGUACAUAUAGUCAUAAACCUAUAUCUACAUUUUUUAAUAAUAAUUUAUAUCCAUACCCUAAUAAUUUUAAUAAUAAUGAAUAAUAAAAGAAGCAAAAAAUUUCCCAUCCCUCCUAUUACUGCUUUAAGUAAAAAAAAAGACCUUCACGGACGCGGCAACACUUGUGUUAGGAUGAAAGAUAGAAAUGAGGCACAGCCAAUCUGUCGUCUUGUGAUGAAUUACGAAAAGAAUAUUUGUCAUCAGAUCAGUAGUAGAAUUAACAAUCACACGUAGAACAGACACAAUGAUUUAUGUGAAAGACCUUUUCAAGGCAAGAAGUAAAAACUAUGGAACCAAACGCUCUACUCCAAGCUUCCACUAUAAGUACAAUGAGUGUAGAAGGAGUUUUAUCUAGGGAAUCUAGAGUUAACCAGCGAUAACACAUUCAUCAAAUUACAAACUUGCCAUCAGUUAGAACCACAACCUUCUAACAAUAAGAGGAAUGACAACAACGAAGUAAAGAACUCAUAUAUUUUGUUCCCCUUUGGUAUCAAUUUAUAUCUCAAACUAUAGCUUUAUUGUGCAUUAAUUUUGAAAUGCAUAUAGAUCCACAAGUCCCCUAGCCACUGAUCAAGUUUUAGCUCAAUUGGACACCAUUUCACCAUCCAAAACAAUCAUCUACCAAAAUUUCUCUCUGUCUUGAAACUUAGUAACCAGAGCUGACAAAACAUACCCUUUCAAAUCUGGUGCUCUAAUCAACCGAUCCUCAAACCAACUGAACAUAUCAAACUAACCUAAUUGAGGAAUGAGCUAACCAAGUUUGGUCCCAAUCCAUCUAUGUUUGAGCCUACAAUCACUGGCUUUAAGAUGGCUGGUUAGAGCCACCAAAUCUCGAUAGAUUUGGUUCUUCUUAUUGUUCCUCCUCUUUGUCUAUCACGUUGUGGUGUUCUUGUGUUUCUCAACACCCCUCUCUUAGCUCCAACAACUAAAGGAAUAAAAGCUAGGGUUUUUAUUUUUAGUUUCCAAUUAAGAUUGAUCUUCACCGUUGGUUCCAACUAAAAUCAACAACUCACAAGAACUAGCCUCAGAGUUAUAUUUUCAGCUGCUUUGCGGAGCUCAAGAUCAUCCUCUAUAUGAAGGGACAGACUAGCACUUGUGUCAUAGCUUGGUCGACUGAGCUUGAGAUCCAACGGUGGGGUGGUGGGGCUCUAGAGCCCCCUCCUACGGCUACUGGACCUAUGGAGUCUCCAUAGGAAUUUUUUAUCAUGGAUGCACUUGAGGAGAGGCUGAAGCUAUCUAAAGGUUUAAAGAAAUCUCCCUAGACAUUUUUGCUAGAUCCGUUCCUAUAUGUGAUACAACCAGUGCAUUCAAUAGCCAGUAGCCACCAAAUCACUAGAAUUUAUUUGAUUUAAUUAAAGUAAAGUUUGGUUCCAACUAAAUUAAUAAAUUUAAUAAAAUGAUUAGUUUAUUAUCAUCUACUUUGGUAGAUCCAGACAAUCGCACGAGAAGUUGUAGGUGUGUACUUGUGUUACAGCACAGCAGCAUAUAUGAGCAUAUUCGUUAUGCCAAUAUUAUACACAAAGAAAAAGAGUCAUGGACGAGGCGGCAAUUGCUGUCGGUGGAUGGCUACCUUUCGGAAGCUAGCCACCGUACACACUCUUUUGGCCGGCCGGCGUCGGCGUGCUGCCAAGUGCAACCUCCCCAACGCUAAGCAGGUAGUGAUAUUAAUGCCGCUGCCGGUGAGGCUCGUCGUCGUCGUCGUCGUCGUCGUCGUGUGACACAAACAAGUCUACCAUCACCCAGAGUGGUCCCGGACACUGUAGGACACGCGUAGUGUAUGUACGCAAUGUCGUCGUCUGCUGCCCUGCUCAACGAUGUGUUCUAACUUUAUUACACGGUACCUGUACGAGGGUAGCAGCAGCUGCUCGGCUGCUGCAGGUGGAUCAUGCACACGCGCGCAACUCCAACACUACCCUAAACUUCACUUGGCAAAUCUUGAAUUUUGCAAAGUGUAAAACUCAAAUGCCAAGUGAAAAAAAGAGGCUUCUGUUAGCUAUUUCUUUUGACAAAUUUGGACUAUCUUGUGAUUCCUGAAAAAAUCAGAGAGACUUUUAUACAAAAGUUGCAAUCUAUUUAAGGCAUGCGUGCAUGCUGAAUGUGUGGGUCCCACCGCGUAGGCAGGAUGCCAAGCGCUCCCAACGCUCUUAAAUUUGAGCCAGUUGGCCCUCUUUUUGCCAAGCAUCCUAUUUUGCCAAGUGCAUAUAGAGUAGUGUUGGAGGAGCUUUUCCAUGUUUUGCCAAAAAUUAGGAUUUGCCAAGUGCAUAUAGGGUAGUGUUGGAGUUGCUCUAAGGACGUCCAGAACAGCCAUCUAAGGUCUCUUUGGUUGGACUUUUGAACCUGCUUUUGCUUUUGUAAAAGCCAAAAUCCAACCAAAGGGCCCAAAAGCCACAAGUGCUUUUGCCCAAAAGCAGCUUUUCUCGUAGUACAAAUCCAAAAGCACCUCACCCCCUGCUUUCACUGACUUCUGGGAUCCGUUCAGUUUUUUUUUCCAAAAGCCACGAGUGACCAACCAAAUGACUUUUGGGUUUCUCAAAGCCCACAUCCCACAGUAGCUUUUCAAAAGCUCAAAGCUCACAGUAGCUUUUCCAAAAGUCACAUCCCAAUCAAACACACCCUAAGGCCUUGUUUAGAUCCAAAUAAUAGAUCUACAGGAUCUACUAGCAAUAGAAAGAACAGGGAUUCGGGAUACAUAAGUAACAUAGACAGUAACAUAAAUAUGCACACUAGAUCUAUUACAUAGGGAAUAGAAACAGGUAGAUCUAGAGUAUAGGGAUUCGACCGUCGUUGGCGGCGGGUGUAGAUCCAGUGGGGUCCAUGGCGAGGGCGUUGACGCGGUGACGGAGUAGAUCCCGUCGUCCUUCGGGCCUCCACCGGCACUGACCGACGACGGCGGGGUAGGAGUAGAAGGGUGACGGCGCGGUGGUGCUUCCCGACGCCACUGCGCACUGUCGAUCGGCGACCUAGGGUUGUGAGUAGGGUUUGGCGGCGCACGACGAACUUCGUGUUGUGUGCCAGUAGCCCCCUACUCCUAUAUUUAUAGCGCAGCGCGUCGGGGGCCCACCAACGAUAGAUCGAUUGGACGCCCCCGAUCAGGGCGCGAUCCAGGGGGAAAGGCCCCAGCCGUUGGGCUGGGCCUGAGAUCAAUAUAACAUUCUCCCUCUUGAUCUCAUCUGUGCUUUCUCGCUUUGUCAACUCACCCCGUCACAAAUCAGUGUAUUGAGCAUGCUUCAUCUUAGCAGUUAUCACUGCUAGAUUAGACAGCCACAAACACUUUUCUGUUUAGAGAUGAAUUCUCGCCUUGGGCCCCUUGCUAUCCAGGAAUCACAGGCUUUCCCUUAAACCCAUGUCGGCUACAUGUUCUCUGAACAUACUGGGCGGUAAGCCUUUCGUAAGCGGAUCCGCUAGCAUCUUUUCUGUGCUUAUAUGUUCAAGACUUAUGAUGUGAUCUCGGAUUUUAUCCUUGACAACAUAAUAUUUUAUGUCAAUGUGCUUGGCGGCAUUGCUUGACUUAUUGUUGUGAGCAUACAACACUGCUGGCUCGUUGUCACAAUACAACUUUAGUGGUUUAUCGAUGCUGUCGACCACCUUUAAACUGGGUAUAAAUUUCUUAAGCCAAUUCACCUGUCCUGAUGCCUCAUAACAAGCAAUAAACUCAGCAUACAUUGUGGACGAUGCAGUGAUUAUUAUUUGUUUUGAGCUCUUCCAUGAUAUGGCUCCUUGCACGAGAGUGAAUAUAUACCCUGAGGUAGACUUUCUAUCAUCUUCCGCGUAAUCAGAAUCUGAAUACCCUACUAUUUGUAGGUCAUCAGAUCUUCUAUAGGUUAACAUAUGAGCCCCUUCGUGCCUUGCAAGUAUCUUAAGAAUUUCUUUACUAGAUUCCAGUGUUCCAUACCAGGAUUACUUUGAUAUCUACCAAGUAGCCCGGUCACAAAAGCCAGGUCCGGGCGUGUGCACACUUGAGCAUACUGUAAGCUUCCGACAGCUGAAGCGUAUGGAACGGCUUGCAUGCAAUCGCGCUCGAACUUGCUCUUGGGACAUUGAUGUUCCCCAUACUUGUCACCUUUUACAAUAGGAGCAGGUGAAGGUCUACACUUAUGCAUAUUGAAUUUCUUCAAUAUUUUCUCUAUAUAUGCCUCUUGGGACAAUCCCAAUACCCCUCGACUUCUAUCUCGGUGAAUCUUUAUGCCCAAGACAAAAGAAGCUUCACCUAAAUCUUUCAUAUCGAAAUUUGAGGACAAAAAUCUCUUGGUUUCCUGUAGUAGAGUGACACCACUACUGGCUAGUAGAAUGUCAUCUACAUACAGUACUAGGAAAAUGUAUUUCCCAUUCUUAAACUUUGCAUAUACGCAAUUGUCCUCAACAUUCUCUUUAAACCCAAACUUUCUGAUUGUCUUAUCAAACUUUAAAUACCACUGCCUGGAUGCUUGCUUUAAUCCAUAAAUGGAUUUCUUCAGGCGACAACCCAUUCUUUCUUUGCUUGUCACAACAAAACCUUUCGGUUGUGCCAUGUAUACUCUUUCUUCUAGAUCCCCAUUGAGGAAAGCUGUCUUCACAUCCAUUUGAUGCAAUUCUAGAUCAAAAUGUGCCACUAGGGCCAUUAUGAUUCUAAAAGAGUCCUUGCUCAAGACGGGAGAGAAUGUUUCAUUAUAAUCUAUCCCUUCUCGCUGAGUAAAACCCUUGGCUACCAGUCUUGCUUUGUACCUUUCUAUGUUCCCUUUGGAGUCACGUUUCACCUUGUAGACCCAUUUGGAGCCUACUGUUUUGGCUCCUUCAAGAAUUUCCUCUAGGUCCCAAACUUUAUUGGUACUCAUAGACUUUAAUUCAUCUUCCAUGGCUUCUUGCCACUUAGAUACUUCGGUGCUCCUCAUGGCUUCUUCAAAUGAAGUGGGUUCAUCCUCCAUCUGAACUUCUUUGCAUUCAUAGACUAUAUAGUCAUCUGGAAUAGGAGACUUUCUCGCUCUUUGAGGUCUACCAGAAGUUUCUGGUACUGGCAUUUCUUCUUGAGGUUGCUCUUGUUGGGGCUGCUGUUCUUCAACUAUGGGUUCAUUCGGCUCCUGAAGGACAAGUUCCGAAUUAGCCAUAGGCGAAAAAGCAGCAGGUGUUGUCACUACUAGUGUAGAUCCAACAACAACAGGCAGCGUAAAGUAGGGUUCUUGCACCAUGGGAAUGGGCACGAACACCCGCUUCUCUGCAAGGGUAAUUUCUCGCGCUGCCUUGCUCCCCCUGAUCAUCUGAUCUUCUAGAAAACUAGCGUGUCUCGGUUCCACAAACUUGGUAUGUCUACCAGGGCAGUAGAAACGAUAACCUUUUGACUUUUCUGGAUAGCCAAUAAAAUGACAACUUACUGUUUUGGGGUCUAGCUUUCCUAUGUUUGGGUUAAAUACUUUUGCUUCAGCAGGGCUCCCCCAGACACGCAAAUGGUUGACUGAGGGUUUCCUGCCGGUCCACAACUCAUACGGUGUUUUAAGUACUGACUUGCUUGGAACUCUGUUGAGAAUAUGAAUGGCGGUUUUUAAGGCCUCCAUCCACAAACUCAAUGCAGAGUGGAAUAGCUCAUCAUGCUGCGCACCAUAUCCAUUAGAGUACGGUGACGCCUUUCUGCUACUCCAUUCUGCUGUGGGUCCCCUGGCAUUGAAUACUGGGCUACUAUGCCAUUUUCCUGUAAGAACCUCGCAAAAGGUCCAGGAACUUGUCCAUAAGGGGUAUGUCGACCGUAGUACUCCCCCCCCCCCCACGGUCAGAUCUUACUACUUUGAUUUUUCUGUCUAGUUGGUUUUGAACCUCAGCCUUGAAUAUCUUAAAUUUGUCUAAAGCUUCUGAGCGUUCUUUGAUUGGAUAGAUAUAUCCAAAACGAGAGUAGUCAUCUGUGAAUGUGAUGAAGGAAUCAAAACCAUCCACAGAUGUCACUGGAAAAGGUCCACAGAUGUCUGUGUGGAUCAAUUCUAGUACUCCUGUGCUUCGCUUAGUGCCUUUCUUUAUGUUCUUUACUAACUUGCCUUUAAUGCAAUCGACGCAUUGCUCUAACUCUGAGAGUUCUAGUGGUGGGAGGAUUGAUUCUUUAACUAAGCGUUCUAUUCUCCCCCUCGAAAUGUGGCCUAAGCGACAGUGCCAUAAUUUCGAUGAGGAAUCAAUUCUCUUUCUUUUCUUGCUAGCAUCUGCGGGUAUUGCAUUCUCAGCAUUAUUACAUUCAGCAUUCACAUUCUCAGACAUAGAUAAUAAAUAAAGUUUGUCUUGUCGGAAGGCAAGACCCACACAUUUAUUAUUUAACUGUAGCUUACAAUCAUUCUUGCUGAAAUGGCAAUCAAAACCAUAGUCUGACAAACAUGAAACUAAAAUUAAAUUUCUAGCUAAAGAGGGGACAUAAAGAACAUCAUGCAACUCAAGUGUGAAGCCACUAGCUAAAUCUAGAGAUAAAUUUCCUAUAGCUUGAACUUCAGCAGCAACACCAGUGGCCACCUUAAUCUGUCUUUCUCAUCUUUGAAGGGUUCUCCCUCCACUGAAUCCCUGCAAAGAGUUUGCAACAUGAACAGUUGCACCUGAGUCAAUCCACCAUGUGGAUCUAGCAUAACUUAGAUAUAAGGAUUCAUCAACAAAAGUUAUAAUGUCCUCACCUUUCACUAGGCAAUGUUUCAUGAACUUAGGGUAUUCAUGCUUCCAAUGCCCUGUCUCAUUACACCAUCUACAGCGAUCCGGGUCCUCCUGCCUGUGCUGGUUGUCUUGCUUUGGCUGUGCUUUUGGCUGUGAAGAGCUUCCUCCCUUGUUCUCGGAGGUGGAGGCAUCUAGAGCUUUCUUGUUGUAGAAUGGUUUCUUGUUCUUUCCUUUCACAAAGUUCACAGAACCACCAUUUGCAUUCUUGAGCCUUUCUUCCUCUUGCACACACAUAGCAAUCACCUUCUCUAAAUCCCACUCCUCUGGCUGUGUGUUGUAGUUAACAACAAAUGUCUCAUACUCUUUAGGAAGUGAGUUUAGAGCUAGGUGAAUGAUGAAACCAUCAGCGAGGGGCAUCUUUAGCUUCUCUAACUUGGCUGCCAUGGUGCUCAUGCUCAGAAUGUGCUCUCUCACACUCCCCCCUGUGAACCUCAUGUUAGUGAGUUUCUGGAUCAGGGUGGAAGCAUGAGCUUUGGUGGAACCAGUAAACUGAUUCUUCACUUUCUCAAGGUAUUCUUUUGCUGUCUCACAUUCUGGGAUGGCACCUCUUAGGCCCUCUGUGAUGGUUUUCUUGAUGACAAUCUUGCAUUUGCGGUUUGACUUUUCCCACUUGUACUUCUCAAGAUCAUACUUUGCUAUGAUGGGAGCAAAGUCUCGCUUCCGAUUAGCAAAAGCUUCAUCGCUCUCAUUCUGAGCCCUUUCGGGCUCCUCUGGCUCAGUGGGCUUUGGCUCCUGAAGAGCCAAAUCUAUCUCAGCAAGUGCUAGAGCUGCAUCAAGUUCCUCGCGCCACAGAACAUAGUUCUGCCCCGUCAGCUUUGGGAUUGCACUGAUGAAGUGCAUCGCAUUCUGCGCUUGGUCUGAAAUUAAAUAUGAGAAAAUAGUGAGAACAUCAACAUUAAAUCUAGGAAAAAUAAUUGCAUAUCUUAAUUUAACGUUGGUCAAAAUCAAGAUAUACAAAAAUUAACUCUCUACAUAAAUUCUAAUCACUGUUGGGCAGAAUAGAAUAAAUACAUAAAAUUAGAACUUGGAAUUUGUAAUAUUGCUAUUAUUAACGUUGGUCAAAAAAUAACAAUAUCACAAAAAUACUAGGCUUUAAAACUCGUGUCUCAAAUUAAAUAUCCCGUUGGUUCAAUUUAAUAUGAGAACGAAAAAAUAACUUGCGCAGCGGAAAACAUUAAUUUAUUUACUAUUUUUAGAAGCAUAACUAGCUAACUGUGCUUUCUAAUUAAUAUACACGUUGGUGCAAAUUAAAUAGAAUUUAAAACUGAGCAAAACAAAUAUUUAAAUGCUUCUGAAAAUUAAAUAGAAUAUAAAAAAGGAGUUACAUUGCUUAAACGGGCCGUGGCCAACCAUUCGGCCCACGACCUCUUGCGGUCCAGCUCGGACGCUGGCCCAGCAGCGCACGGGUGCUUCUGAGUUUUUUUUAUUCUUGGCUGGUGGCACGCGGCCCAGCUAUCGGUUUUCGGCCCAGCCCAACGGCAUGCGUGCACGCGGGCGCUUGGCGGGCCGCAACCUGGGCCGGUGGCGCGCAUUCGGCCCAGCGCCGAAACCCGCCUGGGCUCAUUCUAGCCCAGCAGCCGCUGGUCGUCCGAUUUGCGGCCGUCGCGAUCGGACGGUAGAGUGCGCAGGUCGGAGGCAUAAAAGCCGCCGGCGCCAGGCUCUCUCUCCCAAACCCUAGUUUCUUUCUCCUUUGCUUCCUUCCUGACUCAGCAGCCGACGGCGCCGGCGCAGGAGCCAGACAGCCGCGGCAAGGGCCUCGCCGGCGCCGGUGAAGACGCCGUCGUUUCGGCCGCUCCCUUUCUCCUUUCUGUGCUUUCUUUUGCUUUUUCUCUCUCCAGUCCACUUGCGCCCAGCUGUAGAGAAGGACGCAGUGCUUUGCCGGCCGGAAAGAGUGGCGCCGCCGCGGUUCCUAUCGCCGGAGCGCGCGCUUCCCGUGGUGGGUGAGCGCGCCGCCGUCGAUAAGAGUCGCGAUGGUGCCCUGCGCUUGGCCCCCAUGCGGGAUUCCUCCCUGGUUUUGACCACCCCGGCCGCUAUGGUCGUGAGGCCGGGAUGGGCUAGCGCCCAGGUAGGGUGUUCCUUUAUUCUUUGUUGUUUGAUCUAUGCUUUUAGGGUUAGGAAAUCCCUUUUCUCGAUCUUUCGCGUUUGGAUCUGGGCGCUAGGUUUAGGGUUUGGGAAAAAAAAUAAAUCCUCUCCUUCUACUUGCUGGGCUUGUUGGGUAAAUCCCGAAAACCCCGAUCUAUUACUAGAUCGGCUGAUACCAUUGAUAGAUCUACAGGAUCUACUAGCAAUAGAAAGAACAGGGAUUCGGGAUACAUAAGUAACAUAGACAGUAACGUAAAUAUGCACACUAGAUCUAUUACAUAGGGAAUAGAAAUAGGUAGAUCUAGAGUAUAGGGUUUUGACCGUCGUUGGUGGCGGGUGCAGAUCCAGUGGGGCCCAUGGCGAGGGCGUUGACGCGGUGACGGAUUAGAUCCCGUCGUCCUUCGGGCCUCCAUCGGCACUGACCGACGACGGCGGGGUAGGAGUAGAAGGGUGACGGCGCGGUGGUGCUUCCCGACGCCACUGCACACUGUCGAUCGGCGACCUAGGGUUGUGAGUAGGGUUUGGCGGCGCACGACGAACUUCGUGUUGUGUGCCAGUAGCCCCCUACUCCUAUAUUUAUAGCGCAGCGCGUCGGGGGCCCACCAACCAUAGAUCGAUUGGGCGCCCCCGAUCAGGGCGCGAUCCAGGGGGAAAGGCCCCAGCCGUUGGGCUGGGCCUGAGAUCAAUCUAACACCAAAAAGUUUUUGGAUUUUGAGAUUAUAGCAUUUUUAUUUUUAUUUGACAAAUAUUGUUCAAUCAUAAAGUAACUAAGUUUAAAAGAUUUGUCUAGCGACUUACAGACAAACUGUACAAUUAGUUUUUGUUUUCAUCUAUAUUUAAUGCUCCAUGCAUGUGCCACCAGAUUCAAUGUAACGGAGAAUCUUGAAAAGUUUUUGGUUUUUAGGGUGAACUAAACAAGGCCUAAAUAACUAGUAGAUACAUAGUAUUUUAUUUCACAUGGAGGAAAGAGAACGUGAAAACUGAGGCCUUGUUUAGUUUCAAUUUUUUUUGCAAAAUAGAUACUGUGGCACAUUCGUUUGUAUUUGACAAAUAUUAUCCGAUCAUGAACUAAUUAGGAUCAAAAGAUUUGUCUCGCAAAUUACAAUUAGGGUUUUAUAAAUGCAUUCCCCCCAUCAACCUUUAUACUCACUUUGGCUUCCCCUUUUAUAGGACACUAUUACUUGGGGAAACCAGUUUACACUCCUAUCCUACGACACAGCGGCUAUGGUACAUUAAUGGAAUACGCUUAGCCACAAACAUAAUUUUAGGGUUACUUUGGGGCAUUCCACCUUGGCAACCGCCUUAAUUCAUGGGCCUUUUCUAGUGCCCACAGAGGCCCAUCUAUCACCUCAAGUUCUAGGCACCGUAGGGGCCUUCUCGUCAGCCUUCACUAGAAAAGCCCCGCCUUCCGCCGCGAUCUGGGCUCAUGCUACUCUGGACCUUCACUGCUACACUACCACCUUCGCCUUGUGCUCCAUCCAAGGAGGGUUCCGUGAUGCCUUUGCCCCUCAGAGCGGGACCUUCGCCAAUGUCGAGGGUGCGGGCGAAGGCUCCUGUCUUUGUUCCUGCCAAUCAAUGAUCAUGUUUCGUGCAUUGUUAGUCUUUUUUCGCUGGUGUAUCCCCUAGCUGCCAUAGCUCAUAGUUCCAUGUCCCAACAAUGUCUAAGAGCAAUUUCACUAGGAACCCUUAAAUUAGGGUUCCCACUUUUGAUUCGAGGGUUAUUCAACUUUUAAGUUUUUUUUGCAUCUAUUGUAACAACUCUCAAAUCCAUUUCAGUAGUCACGGAGACACAAACACAUGAGAUUCACUCGCCAUUCUCUUCCUAUGACCAUAACUACCUUCGCUCCAAUCAACUAAGCUAUGACUGACACGGGGUGGAGCAGCAGUAACCUCAUUAGGGAGGGGUUUGUGCCAAGGGCAGAGGAGCCGAUGAUGAGAGAGUAGCCACGUUGGGGACUGACCUUGUAAGAAUAGGGAAGGACCUCACUAGGGGAUGGGACAAGCACUAGGGAGAGGAGUCACGCUAGGGGAUCGAGGAUGGGGUAAUAAGGGUCUCGUUGGGACGGGGAAGGACCUCACUAGGGGACAAGACAGGAGCUAGGGAGAGGAGCCACAACGGGGAAGGAUCUCACACAUAGGCGGACAAACCUCACUGUGAGAGCCACGCUACAAGGAGGGAGACCCCUUAGGAAGGGGCACGCCGCUAUAGGGAGGGGAGUCACACCACUAAGGUGAGGGGCCUCAUCAGGGAGAGCCGCACCAAGGGAAGGACCUCCUAGGGACGGUGGAGCAUGCAAGCAACAUCGGAUGUGGAUAGAUGGACACUAUCCUCUUGCAUGCUAGGAGGAAAACGAUAACAAGUGUCAGUUGAGGGCCUAGAGUAGGGUCCCAAGAAAAUGAGGACUAGGAGGAAAAUUUGAGGGGCCUAUGAGUUUUUUUUUCUAGUCAUCAAAUUUGGUUUUGAGGGGUCAAGUAGGUGUCCUGCUAGAGAAGGCACCUCUAAUAAUAGUGAGAGUUAGAUAUCGACUCUUAGAUCCAUCUCAUUCAUAUGUUUUAUUUAUAUAUUCUCUCGUGUCAAGAGAGAGAGAUAAUUCAAGUCUCUCAUACAUUUUAGUACGUGCAAAGAGCUCGGCUUUUCUCAACUUCUCUCCACGCUAGUUCCACGCUAGUUCAAAGGUUUUUGGCCUCUCUCCCCUUUGUGUGGUAUCUGAUACUAGCUUAGAGCAAGUCCAAGAGAAGAGCUAUCCAUAUCAUGUAUUCUAUAUUUGGCUAUUUUGGGAGAGAAAAGAGAGUCCAACAGCUAUUGUAUUUGGUUUGCUAAAAUAGCAAGUCAUCUAUCCCGGAGUUCUCGUAUGGUAAAUAUAGCUUGCAUGUCCUGCUAGCCAUAUGAUUUGCCGUAUAGAAAGACCGUUGGAGAUUUUUAUUUUUUUACAUGAUUUUCUAUUUUAGAGGUUGGCUAAAUUUUGAAUUUAGCCAUCUAUUUUUAUCAACUCUCUUAGAGUUGCUCUUAGAGUUGUCCAAUAGAGAUGCCCUUAGCUAGCUCCCAAUUUAGAAUAUACCUAGACUAGAUCGAUAUCAGGCUUGAGAACGCAUAAUAGUUAGAUAUUUAUACCUAGUAGAUCGUUGGGUUUUAAACAAUACCAUACCUUUUUUUUGAGGGGAAAACGAUACCAUACGUGAAAUGGCUCACAUGAAUAUUAGGCCCGAAAACGGUUAUUGGCUAAACAGAAUUGGGCCUUAAAUGGGCGAUUAAAACAGCAAUGAUGCCUCCGUAGACUAGGAAUCGCAUAGACAAAAAGCUGUGACAUGCAUAUGCCUCGGGUGGGCUAUAAACAGGCCUGCGAUGCAGGCCUAUACACAGCCCAAUUUUUUUUGUGAACAAUACACAGCCCAAUUUGUGUACGUACAAGUGCCGGUUGCUUUUUCAGUUUCUUGCCCCAUGGGAAGCAUUCCCCAAUCGAAUCAUCACGUACGUACUUGACUCUGAUCCAUCAUAACACUUGGUGUCCACUAUGCACGCUCGUAGGCAUUGUUUACUUCCACCCAAAAUCUAAAAUUUUUUCAAGAUUUCGCGUCACAUCGAAUCUUUAGACGUAUGCAUGGAGUAUUAAAUAUAAACGAAAUUAAAAACUAAUUGCACAGUUUGAUCGAAAUUUACGAGACGAAUCAUUUGAGCCUAGUUAGUCCAUAAUUAAACAAUAAUUAUCAUAAACAAACAAAAGUGCUACAGUGUACCGAAAAAAUUUCGGCAAGGAACUAAACAAGGCCGUAGUAUGCUGUUAUAUGAUGGAAUCUAAAGAGCCCCAUUUUCUCUUUUAUCUUACCCUCCAGAUCGAGGCCACAAAAUCCUAGGUACAGAACAUCGUCUGUCAGAUGCAUCUGGUUGCAGCAAAGAUCCACACACAUUACAUAGAAUACGUGCACAGCACCAAAUGCAUGCAACGGCAACAUAUGCAUGCAGCACAAUUAGUUGUACAGUUUCCAUGAUUUACAAGCAAGUCCGGAUUCUUUUACUUCAGUAAACCAUCCUCAUAUUGCAAUGAUGGCAUGAUGCAUAUAUAGAGCGGGAGUGGUUAAGGUCGAUGAAUAAUGAAUCACUGAUGAAGCAGGGCAGACAAGGACACGGCAGCGGCGGCAGAGGCACACUGAGCCCACACAGAUGAAAUGAGCAAAUAUAUAGUACGUCGCGUGUAUAUGUUACUAUAUCUUAUUACUUGAACACAUCACUCUCAUGACUCAUGGAUGGAAAACAUCAUGCAUACAGUACAAUAUAUAAUGGACACAAAAGCUAGUAGUAUUCAUUAUUCAGGAAACCUGUGUGCUAAAGCAACAAGGUUAAAGGCAAGCAAACCCCCAAGGACGACGUUGAGUGCUGCUUUGCUAGCCUGCUACACACACACACACGUACGAUCGAGGUACACGACGACAGCCACAGCGACGACAGAGUUGGUGUAAACUCAAGGUAGUAAACAGUAAAUACUAAUUAAACGGAGUGAUCACUAACAGGUACGGUGCAUGCAUGAUCUACUCCUUAAUUUAUGUAUCUAUCUCAUUGCAUGCAUCAUCCAUGGAGGGAGUCAUGGACGACAUCUGGUAAAACAACGACGACUGCAUGCUGAUCGCCAUCCAACGAGCAUGCCUCAUGCAUGUCCUUAUGAUCGAUCAUCAGUUGAUCCUGCACGUACAUAACAUGAAAGAUAUCAAAUCAUGGUUAUCACACUCGAUCAUUAGCAGAAAAUCACUCAUAAUCACUGUGCAUUCAUGCAUGCAUGGACGACAUAUUUAAUCAAUUGGACAGGGUGAAAAACUCAGCCUAGGAGGCGUCGUACUUGGAGCAGUCGACGUUGGGACUAAUGGGCACGCCGACGGAGACGCCGCACUUGGAGGGGAUGCUGGCGGCGUUACCCAUGCUGACGCCGCCGCCGCCGCCGAGCCUGCUCGUCAUGCUCUUGAGGCAGGCGCAGGUGGCCUGGCGGUCGGCCGUCGACGACGCGCGGCUGUUGAGCGAGCGCACCCCGGUGCAGCACGCCGGGGAGGGGAACGCCGUGGUGCCCAUCGCGUACCCGAGGCACGGCGCCACCGAGGAUGUCACGUCGCUGCAGCUCACCGCCGCCGAUGCCGGCUCCGAGGACGCCAGCAGCAGCGCCGCCAGGACCGCCACCGUCGUCGCGACCACCAGGGCGAGGCGUGGAGCAGCCAUUGCAGGACAGAAGAGCAGUGGGGGGUGGUGAGCUGUUGAUGGUGUAGUGGUGUUAAGUGAAGCUGUGAUGGAUGGAGCAAUGGUGGUGCCAGGGGUAGGGUAUAAAUAGGGAGCUUUUUACCUAUAUGUCAUUAUGAAAGAUUGACCAAACCAGGAAGCCACUAAAAAGUGGUUUCGCACCGCUGUGCCCAACUUCAUCUUCGGCUAUACCUGUAUGCCAUUCCGUCCAUUUUGAAGUCUAACGGCAGUUAAGUGGUCUGACAUUUGACUUGAAUGCCCCUGGGCCAAUUGGUCUAGACAACAAAAUCUUCUUGUCCCCAGUGCCACUGACUACCAAUUCACUGACUACCAAUUUCUACGGUGAGCGCCAAAAGGGCUGGACAGAACUGCAAAAGUGGCAUCUUUCAGAAGUUCUAAAUUCCCAUAUUACUUGAAAAAUUCUUUCAUGGUUUUUAGCAUCAUCCAACAGUAAAUCCCGUAGAUGAACAGAUUGAAGAACCCGAUUAAAGCCAUGCCACAAGCGAAAGAAAUGGAACAUGUUUCACAACAAUCUAUGAACUAUGAAAAUAAGGAACAUAAAAAAAAACCGCCAAUGUUUAUCUCAGCUACCUCUCAUUCAUUAGGUAACAUAAACAAAUACAUAGGCUUCCGUUCCAUUAAUGGUCCUUUGUUCCAAGAACACCACGCCAUACAUACUACGGGCGAACGCGACGAGGACCUGGAACUGGACGAGCUUCUGUCCGAGCACCGGAUGGACGAGGCGCUCCAGCUCCUGGAGCUGCGAGGCCAAGCGCUGCAGACGAUGCAGGAGCAGGCCGACGACGACGACGACGGAGCGAUCGCGUUCGCGUCGAGCGUGCGCGCGCUGUCCGCCACGAAGGCGAGGGUCGCCGCCCGCUUGGCCUCCCUGGCGGAGAACCCGCGGACGCCGCGGCCCGAGCUCCUAAAGGCGCUCUCGGGCCUCUGCAGGCUCGGCGACUCGGAGCAGGCGAACCACCUGCUCUUCCAGGUGCACCGCGCGAGCGUCGUCCGCGCGUGGAGGAGCUGCGCGCGUCGCGAGGCCACCACCAGAGCAUCGCCGGCGCCGGCGGCAACUACAUCAAGGACCUGGCGCCAGCGGACGCCGAUGCUGGCGGAGCCACCGAGAGCGCCGGGCCGGCCCUGGCGACCCCGCUUCCUCCUCGUCCCCUCUCCGCCUCAUGCUGCUGCUGCGGAGGCGGCGCGAGGGAGCCGGUGAGGAGCUGCGUGAAGGUCGUCGCGGCCCCGGAGGAGGAGUUGGCGCCUCCGCCUCCGCCGUCGUCGCUGUCAGAGGAGGGGAAGAGCGCUGAGGCGAGCGUGAGCGGGCCCGGGCUGGCGUCACCGGCGCCCGUAAAGAGCGACUCCGCCGCCGAGCGCGGUGGCAGCGCCAGGCGCCGGCGUUGACUUUGGUUUUGGAAGAGGCCGAGCGCGGCCUCGAACGCGGGCUGGAGGACCGCGUGAGGGGCGAUGGACUGGAAGGGCAAGAAGGACAUUUUCCUACCAAGGACCCACGUGCCAGACCACUUAAACGUCACAAAACAAACGGAAUGGGGACGGAAUGGCAUACGGGUAUAGUUGAAGAUGAAGUUGGGCACAGCGGUGCGAAACAAUUUUUUAGUGGCUUCCUGGUUUGGUCAAUAUUUUAUAAUGGCAUACAGGUAAAAAGCUCAUAAAUAGGACCUUGGUAACUCAUCACUUAUUCACUUUUUUUUUUGGAAUUCAUCACGUAAUUAUUUUUUUUUGAGACUGGAACUUCACCCGUUUUUCAUUAAUUAAGAGGGAAUUCAAUCACGUAUUCACUUGGAGAGUGUACGUGUGUGUGUGUGUUAGCUGGAAAUCUGAUGAUGUGGGGCGCGCGGCCCGGCUGGGGAGCUGAUGAGUGAGGCUUUUUGAUAUUGUAUCAUUUUCAUUUUUAUUUAACACAUAGUGUUCAAUCAUAAAGUAAUUAGAUCUAAAAGAUUCGUUUCACGAUUUAUAGAUGAUAAUCUGUACAAUUAGUUUUUGUUUUUAUCUAUAAUUAAUGCUUCGUGUAUGUGCCGUAAGAUUCGAUAUGAUAAAAAAAUUUGAAAAGUUUUUAGAUUUUUGGGUGAAUAAACAAGGCCCGAGUGAGUGCAGGUGAAGUGUUACUGCAGUGGUGGUUGAGCACGCACCAACCAGGGGGAUCGUACGUUUGAUGAGAUGUGAGAUGAGAUGCGAUGCGACGAGGAGAUGAAUGCAUGCACGUGAACCUGCUUCUCGUUUGUAUUCGGACUUUUGGUACGUACAAACAAAGCCUGUGCAAACGUUCAUCAUUGUGCUGCUUGUGCAUAUUGAUAUACACGACAUAUGCACGCUGCAUAUACCCUGUGUACUGUGGUGCCCGUGACUGCCGCCGGGCACAUAACAUAGGAGUAGUAUGAAGUCUUCAAAGUCACGACUGAAAGUCUUUUUUUUGCUAAUAUGUUGUAAAAAAACAUUUCUAAAUAAUUAUUAGUAGAUUCGGUAGAUGAUCUUAAUUAAUAAGUGAACAAGCUAAUGGUUUUAAUUUGUGCUGUGGACACAGCUACAUAGUACGAUGGGAUGGACAGUGUUUCCCACCAGCCUUACCGAGUUUACCGUGCAACGAAUACGCGCCCGUGACACACACACGCUGCAUAUGCAUGAGCCUUGGGCUAUAUAUACCAGUACGCGUACGUACGUACGUAAACGUACGGUCGUAUAUUGUACUCGCGCGCCUACAUAUAUCAUUCUCGGAAUCGUAACAUCCUCCCUCGCUCGGUCUGUCACGAUCAUGAACGUAAGACGUGUUCAUCAACUUUGGAACUGGUGCACAUAGUACUGCUAGGCUAGCUGAACGUACGUCCCAGCAAACACGUACGGAUAGAUAGAUGAUCCAGGACUAUUAGCAAUUAACUGCCUUCAAUUCUUAUGUCGCCGGCCGAUCGUACUGCAGCGCAUGCAUGCAAAUGCAAUAGUAGUAGAUAGAUAGAAUUGCAGUUGUUGAUAGAGCUAAGCAAAAGCACGCAAUUAAGUUCACCUUUAGCUUUUCUUUGCAUUGAACGUGUAACAUGCAUGUUCACAUCUUGAUGAUGGUAGCCUGAAAAUUCUGGUGAGGUAGUUGCCACCUAGCCAAGCAUUGCAUGAACCAACUACUACUGUACGUCCUCUCCGUUCUACAAAGAGAAAGGAGUACAUUUUUAACAUUCUAAACUUGUCUAUAAACCUGUUCUCUCUCUCUCUCUCUCUCUCUCUCUCUUCCACACCACCCAAUCCCUUGACCUCCCUCCCUCCCACAACCACUUUUAGCGUCUUGCAUUUGAUGGCAUAGGUUACGAGGACUCAUAGCAUUUUCAACAUUUUGUUCUAAACUUAGGAUACAUUCUAACAGGAAAUCAGCUCUAAGUAUUUCUCUUCUUCAACAGUUACCAUAUAUAUCAUCUUAAAUAAUAUAUAGGAUGGACAAUAUAUAGUCCACCAUCAAUAUAUCCAUCCACCCACAUAACCCCUCUCUCUCUCUCUCUCCCCCACACCACCCAAUCCCUUGACCAACCUUCAUCCCCACAACCGCAUUAGCAUAUUGCAUUGAUUGCCUCGGUUACAUUCUAAAUCCUUAUAUAGGAUACAUUCUAAUAAAAAAACGUCUCUUCAUAUUUAUUUUUUCUUCAAUGGCUACUGCGUGUCAAAUACUCCAUACAACAUCUUGAAUUUGUAAAGAAGAGAGGAUAAUUUAGGAUACCACUAAAUAUCUGAUAUUGAAUAAGAGGGCCACUGAAGGAUGAUUUUUGUAACAUAAAUCUUUAUUUAAGCUCUAGGGAGACAAAUAACAGGAACUCUUCUAGAUAUCCUUAGUUACCGAGAGCAGUGAGGUUAUUUCUCUUUAUAAUUAUUAUAUUUAUUGAAAUAAGCUACAAAUCGUGUCUUUGCGUGGGACAGGGAUAACAUUAAAGAUAUUAAAAAGUUUUGUCAUUCCAUCAUAUAUAUAUAUAUAUAUAUAUAUAUAUAUAUAUAUAUAUAUAUAUAUAUAUAUAUAUAUAUAUAUAUCCCCACUUUCUUGGUGUGGUGGUACACAAGGGAGGAUACCAUGUUACCUACUAGUACUAGGUUUAAUUAAUUUAAAUUCUGGCACGUGCUAACGGCGUUUAAGAGCAUCCCCAAAGAGUCUUUUUAGAAUUUACUCCAUAGAUUAUCAUUUAGAAAGUCAUUUAAGUGGAACAUCGUUUUCUAUAUAUUUGCAUCCUUCAACAGUUUUUACUAUAUCUUGCGCGCAUUUAGAGACUCAUUCUUGCUUUAAUUUUCAUCUUUGGCUAGUGAGAAAUCUAGAGUAGAGGAUGUCUAUAUUGAAGAUCUAGUUAAUUGAAGAGGUUUGGAGAGUUUUUUUUACCAAAAUCUCUAUUCCUACAAAGUAUAAAAGAUAUAAAAAUUCUUUUGGAGUUGUUCUAACCAGUUUUGUAUGUGUGGGUCAUCUUGAAAUUAAAAAAAAUACAGGCUUCGAAACUAGGGUGUCAUUUGAGAGGCAGCAUACAAAACAAUUAUAAUAAAAAAUCAUUUAUUUUCAGCCAUUAUUUCUUUUUACAUUUUUGAGAAAUAUUAAUUCUUGUACUGUACAUUUUAUGGGAAUUAAUUAUUUUUACAUUUUGUUUUGAGCAACAUUAAUUAUUUUUACAUUGAAUUUGGUAUAAACAGUGUCGAGUUGAGCGAUGAAGGCCUCAGUUGGGCUGUUGUUGUCCAUGGAGUUAUUGGAGUAGUGGGCCUAGCUGGUCCUACUUUUUUUUUCCUGUGUGUGUUGCUGCUUACCCGUUACCACGUUUACUAUUGGGCCUCCAUUAAACUAAUUCCGGAAUGAUCCAUCAGCUUCGCGCCGUGCACACGUGUGUAUACAUGUACACGGCAGCGCUAUUUUAUAUCCUACUGUUAAGUUGACCAGAAAAAAAAUACUUCCCUCCGUUUGUGUUUACUUGUCACCAACUUUUUACUGUAGCAAAUUUGACUAUCUAUUUUUUUUCUUCUAAAAAAUCUUAGAUACUUCAAUAUAUAUAACACUAAUGAAGUAUAUUCAAUAAAGAAUCAUAUAUGUGAAAACUUGAUGUAUCUAAAAAUCUUUUGCAGAAAAAAACAUAUAGUCAAAAUUGCUACAGUAAAAGUUUGGUGACAAGUAAACGCAAACGGAGGUAGUACUAAGCAGUACUCAGUUUCACGAGUACGAACGAUAUUGAAUUUUGUUUAGGCCGUGUUUAGUUCCUACAGCGAAAAAAAUCACGACACUGUAGCAUUUUUGUUUGUUUGUGGUAAUUAUUGUCCAACUAUGGACUAACUAGGCUCAAAAGAUUCGACUCAUAAAUUUCAACAAAACUGUACAGUUAGUUUUUAUUUUCCUCUAUAUUUAAUACUCCAUGCAUACGUCUAAAGAUGCAUGCGUCUAAAGAUUCGAUGUGAUGGGGAAUCUUGAAAAAUUUUGGAUUUUGAGGUGGAAGUAAACAAGGCCUUAGUAUAACAGUUCGGUGUAGAAUAGCACUAUACACUCUAAGAGUAAAAUACUAUUCUACACCAAACUAUGUGUGAAUUAUGGUAAAAGAUCUGUACUUCUACACCAAACUAGAGUGGCCGGCCGGGGUGCUUCUGAUCGAUGAUGAGUGAGCUAAGUAGGGUUUAUAUAGGGAGAAGUGGAAGGCCUUUAAUUUUUCCAUAUCUUUUCCUUAACUUCGGAUCGAAAGAAAAGAACGCAUCCUUAAUAUCAUGCAUGUCAUCAUCAUUUCUUUAGCAACAAAACCCUUAAUCUCAUGCGUAACGUCGGCAUAUGAUUAGAGAGCGUUUUAUUUGUAACUUGUGAUCUCCCUUUUUACCGGCCUCUGCCUUGGACUGAGGAUGGAAAUCUGCCAUGGCGGCCAAGGUCGAUUCAUCUGAUCAGCACGCAGUAGAUAUGUGAGUUGGGAGAGAGUAGUACUGUAGUGGUGGUGGGUUUCGUGUGGGAUUCUGCUUAUGCUGAGUGAGGUUAUUAAGGCAGUGAUUGCUGAUUAGUGAGGCGCGCCAUAAGUUAACAACGAAAACCUACUUAGGACCUUGGAUCCACAGAGCUAAUAUUUAGUUGCUAAAGAUAAAAAUAUUCAGAUGCUAAUAAUUAGCUUGUUUGGAUCCAAACGGGCCGGUCUAGCUAAUUAUAUUAGACAACUACCUCACUACUUGAUCAAAACUAGCUAAUAAUUAACUAUAGCUAAUAUUAGCUAUGAGCUAUUAGCUAGCUAACUAUUAGCAGCUAAUGAAUCCAAAUAGGGAUUUAAUUUAUCACUAAGCCCCAAUUUUCUGUGAAACCUUUGGAUGAUUCAAGUAGUGUGAGAUUAGAGGGAGCGUUUCAGAACUAAAGUUGGUGGCCAUGGCUUAGGAUCUGAGUGGUUUUUUUUCCUUGCCUUUUUUCUAAAAUAAAAGAAAAACAGGCAGGAGUUCUGCCCUGGAUUAAGGAUGGAUCCAGUUUCAGUUUCAGUCAGGUUACGCGAGACUGUGAGAGUUAGUCCAUGGUGCAUGGUAACAGCUUGAUGCUAAACUCAUCCACGUUUCAUUUCAUCUCUGCUGAUCAUCAUCAUUCAUCCACUAACUAGCUAGCUACCACGAUAAAUAAACUGAAGAAGAAUAUUGCACCAACAUUUUAUUGCGGGUUUUCAUCAUGGCCUGGAUGAUCUGCAAAUUUCAGGGCCAUGCUUCUCCAUUGCUUCAGAUUCGACGGUGCUACAAGCCGGAGUGCAACCUCCGAUCCGUCAGUCAGUGUAGGACAUGCACGUCCAUACAUGUCCUGUCCAUCAGCAAGAGAAUGCCACAGGCCGCGGUAGCAAAAGCCAGUGGCUGGACGCUGCUUGUUUUGGUUGAGUUGGUGCCUGACAUUUCAGACCUCCCUAGCUAGCUUAAAUACAUGGAAGGGUACCACGUACACCACACAUGCAUAUAGUAUAGUAUAUGCACGAACUAGUAGCACGUAUCUUCAUAGCUUUCGGAGUAUGUUCUCAGGACAAACCUUUCUGUACAUGGCUCCAACAAGCAGAUGUUUCUUUCGCUCGUCCUCUCUUUGCGUGCAGAUGUGCAGUAACAAUACGCAUCUAUCUAUUACUUUCAUACAAAAAUGCAGCCUACUUCACUGAAUUAUUGAGCACUUUUCUUUUCUUUUUUUUUUACAACGAUGAACUGUGAUUUUCGAUCAGUAUGGGAACCGUCGACGGCCAAUGACUUCUGUUGCUUGACUUGUUUGUUGCACUUUCAAGUUCCAAGCGAGGCUACUCUUGAUCUGAUAGCAAGCAGAACAGAGGGAUAAAAAUGUAUAUGACAUUGUGGUGUCUGGUGGGAGCAGAAUUUGCCCUGUUUUGAGCACUUUCAUUUCAGAGAUAGACACAGAGUUUGCUCUACAGACUACAGAGAAUAAUCCAACGAUAACUAAGUACACAUUGAGUGCAAGAGAUUGCAUCACUAGAGCUAAUGUAUAGGGUAGCCUUUGGGCAAUCUGUUGCAGCCGAAUUUGUUGAGGAUAAUCCAAAAAGAAACACUUACCACAUUGUCUUGUAAAACAGUGCUGCCAGAUCAAUAAAGUUUCAGGACUUCAGACAAUCCUUUGGGAAUAGAAACGAUCUGUCAUCAAUCACUACCUUUUGAAUCACAGAUAGGAGUAUGAAACAAGUAUGCACUCCAUAGUGGCCUACAACAUAAAAGAAAGUUUGCUUUAGAACAUUUUCUCAAACUCGAGUUUGCUUUUGAACAUAAAAAGUAUUAUUCUGAUCUGCAACAAAGUUGAGUAAGGAAUGGAGAAUUACCAACAACACGGCCAAUGGAGCUACGAUCCCUCAGCGAUAAGACCCAGCACACAAGAGGGGCUCCUGCAGUUCAGACCGUUCAUUGCUCCAUGCAGUUUGUGACAACUGUAUUUGGUUCUCUAUUUUACAUGAACUUGACUGUGCGCAGCAUGCUUUGAACCGCUGCAUCCAAUCACCUUUGUUCUCAGAUGUUCAACAUCAUCCCACCGUUCUGCUUCUGCAUACGCAUUUGAUACUGUGAUAACAUCCCCAUCAUCCAUUGGCAUCAACUCAUGCAUUCUAUGAACAGCUCUGUCAGCAAUGUCAAAAUGCCCAUGCACUCUGCAUGCAGCCAUAACCAUCUUCCACAGCACAGAGUUUGCCUUGACGGGCAUAUCAUUGAUCAUUUGAUAAGCCUCGUGAACUUUACCAUAGCGGCAGAGCAUGUUGAUUAUACAGCCAUAGUGCUUCAUGCUUGGCACAAUUUUGUAGUCUUCGAUCAUGCUCUUGAAAUACACUCUCCCCUCAUUCAAUAGGCCGCUGUGGCUGCAAGCAGUCAAAACACCCAAAAACGUGACAUGAUCAGGCUCAAUAUUCAUAAGAUCAAACAGCUUAAGGGCAUCAUGCGAGUGGCCAUGGACUGACAACCCAACAAUCAUCGUGUUCCAGCAUGUAACAUCCUUGAUUGACAUGCUGUCGAAGACUUGUCUGGCGAGCUUCAAGUUACCACAUUUUGCAUACAUAUCAACCAGAGCGUUGCCAACAUACCCAUCAGCUUCAAUUCCUUUGCUCUUAAGGUAAUCAUGGAUUCCCCUCCCCAGCUCUAGCUCACCCACCUCCGCACAAGCCCCAAGAGCCGACACGACUGUUAGCUCCGUGGGUUCGAUGUCAUUCUUCCACAUAUCUCGGAAAACGUCUAGUGCUCGGCUAUACAUCCCGAGCUUUGCAUAUCCACUAAUCAAUGAGUUCCAAGAUAUGACAUCCCUCUCAGGCAUGUCUCUGAAAAUUCUCGCUGCCUCGACCAAAUCCCCGAGCCUCACAUUUCGCAUGAUCUCAGAGUUCCACCAUGAUAUGUUCCUUUCUGGAGUUGCCUGAGAGACACGCUCUGCACCCUGCAAGUCUCCAGAGACACCAUGAGCCACGACAAGUGCAUUCCAGGAGACGGCAUUCUUCACAGGCAUUUCAUCGAACGCCUUCCUCGCCUCCCCCAGACGACCGAACUGGCCGUACAUGGACACGAGCGCGUUCUGCACGUACCGAUCCUGCCCGCAUCCCAGCUUCAAGACGCGGCAAUGCAGCUCGGCGCCCUUGGCAGCAAACACGGCGGCGCGAGCGCGACGGCUGAGCCUGAACGCGCGGGCACAGGAUUUGAGGAGGGCCGGGAAGGCGGGGAGCGGGGUGGGGAUGGAGAGGGAGGAGACGUGGUUGAAGAGUGUCAGCGAGGCGGACGGAGCCGGCGACGAGGAGAAGGCGGAGAUCACGGGGCAGAAGAGGGACGGGGAGAGCACGCACGGAGGCGCGGCGAGGAGGAGGGAGAGGGAUGACGGGGAGGCGGGCGGGAGGUGAGAGAGGAGACCGGCGAGGCAGGCAGGGUGGUGGAGGAGGUCGAGCUUGGCGAGCAGUGCGUGGAGUUGGUGGCCAGUGGCGGCGGCGG
Molecule: long non-coding RNA, 49340 nt
Filed under: Sorghum bicolor (sorghum)
Lineage: Eukaryota; Viridiplantae; Streptophyta; Magnoliopsida; Poales; Poaceae
Description: long non-coding RNA (SBIC_LNC013492)
Source: RNAcentral